RNAcentral lists this long non-coding RNA (56005 nucleotides) under Citrus maxima (pomelo). Its description in RNAcentral is "long non-coding RNA (CMAX_LNC001319)". The record is from RNAcentral. Lineage: Eukaryota; Viridiplantae; Streptophyta; Magnoliopsida; Sapindales; Rutaceae.
GAAAACUAUUUGCUGAAGUCAAUAUUUUCAAAACCAAAGUCCCAAAUUCUCUCUCGUGCGUGCCUGGCCAUCCUAAACCUUACUGGUAGCCGGAGAAUGGCGUAAAACGGCGGCGAUCUUCUUCUUCAUCUUAUUAUCUCUCUCAUCGUUUCAGGUAAGCUUGUGAUUAUGAGUUUCUUCUCUUUCUUAGCUUGUAAUUAUAGGUUUUGAUUUCUUUAAUUCGUAUUGUAACCAUUAAUGUCAAUUUUUGUCCCGCCGGCAAUAUUUCUUGUUCCUAGAAGUUGAAGCCCUUCUGUUCUUGUUCCAUUGGUGACUUUGCUCACUCAAAUUAAUUUUGUUCUGCGGAAUUUACAAAGUUCAAAUGGAUUCAUUUGGAUUACUAUUGAAUUUAGCUUUCAUUUCAACAUUCAUUCUAAUGUUUUACAAUCAUGUAUUUAGAUUUACUUUAAUUUUAUGUUUAAAGCUUCUACAAUGAAUAGCGGAGCUUGGGUUUUAGUUUCAUUUUCUAAUUAACUUCUUUUAGUUUAUCUUAUAUGCUCGCCAAGUGCUUGUUAUAUUGUCUGAUAAGUUAUAUAACAUUGCUGAUUCUAUAUUAGUAAUGUCAUGUUCCAUUUACGGAAAUUAUAGCACAAAAGUUUUUACAAUGGCUUGCAUCUACAAACUGAAUUGACUUGUAGAGUAAGAGCUUGGAUUAGUGUUAUGUUCUUGAAUAAAUGAAAGUUCAUAUUGUGUAAGAGCAUGUAGAUGUAAAGCAUCACUACCAUUUCUACAAAAUGCUUUCAUUCUGUUCAGAUGCUCCUCUUGAACUUUGAAAGGUGCCUCAUUCAAGUCCUAGCUAUAACUAAUAGCUCUGAUUGCUUAAGUUCCUGUGCUAGCUGAAACAGAUUUAUUUAAUUAAUUAAUUGUGUAUGUACUAAUUAUAUUGAAAGUAUAUGAAGAAAUUGUUUAACAUGAAUGACUUCUAAAUGACUUAAAAGCCUAAAGGAUAUGUCAAAUAAUGCUCAUUUCACUUGAACGAGCCUAAUACUUUUAUGUCUAUGAUUGUCAAUCUUGCUUAAGUGUUUCAGUUAAGUGGUUUACCUAACAGGGGAAAAAAUUUAAUGGAAAACUUUAGAGUUCGAACAGAAAUAUAGUUGACUGCAGAUAUAGUUAUUUUACGGUACAUAAAUCAUAUUGUCCUAUACUCAAUGUCCUACGACCUAUUUUAUUUUAUAUGGUCAUUCAUUUUUGCGAUGGUUUUUUGUGCUUAUGAGUAUGGAAAUAGUGGGAUUUGGUGUGGCAAACAAAAAUAUACAUAUAAUCAAGUUUCUUAAUCAUGUAUAUUGGUUUUGGGUAUGAAUGUUUUCCUAUUCUAGUUCUAGACAAAGUUUCUUCAUUUUGGUCUUCAGAUUUCCAGUAGGUUAAGUUAAGCAACUAUCAUAACUAGCUAGCUAGUUAUUGCCUGCCUUGUCGCCAUUACCGACGCCAUUACAUUGCAUGGCAUAAGGAAUAGUAACUAGGUGAUUAUUGGUGAUUCCUUGAGUUUAUUAUUGGCCAAACAAACAUAUUCGCCUUUACCCACAACUUAGUUUGAUUAGUUAUUAGAUAAUAAAGAGCCUUAAUCUAUGCAUUGCUUUAUUAUUUUUAUUUGGUUUUUCUUUCAACAAUAUUGUUGAUUUCUUAUAAAAAAUAUUCAUUGGUUUUUAAACACCUAAUCAUUGGCUAUAAUGAAGCUAAUUAAAACGGAGGCUUUGGAUCAAUUUCUGUUAACAACAUACAAAUGAGCAUAACCACCCCCCCCCCCCCCCCCCCAACCACCACCAAAAAAAAAAAAAACCAAAUAGGAAGACUUUGCAAGAUUCACAACCAGGUUACAUUUAAUUUAUUAAUUGUGUGUACGUACUAGUUAUUUGUUGAUAGAAUAGGAAGAAGUAUUUUAAUAUGAAUGGCUUAAAACUUAUUGCUCAGUAAACAUAAUGUGCAUCAGUGCUAGAAAAUGUAUUUAUUGUUUGUAAUUUUUUAUGGUUUUGCUUAAGAAAUGAAAUGUGAAAAAAUGCUACAUUUUAUUAGGAAUAAAUUGAAGAGAUUUAUGAUUUUUAUGUGUUAUUCAAGUUUCAGAUUCAAUUUUAAACUUUUGAUACAUGCAUUGAAAGCUUAAACUCCUUUAAGAAAUUAUUAAUAGACACAUGUUUUAUUAGUGUCAUCUUUUGGAUGAUAGUGAGGAUCUUAUGUCUAUUAAUAAUUCUUGAAUUAUCUAGGCUUGGACAGUUUGGUAAUGCAUAGAUUUCUAUGGCAGCUAGUGCCUGAAAUUUUUUUCCCACGUAAAAAUGGGUUUUUCCGCAGCUGCUCCUCAUGUUCUCUGGGUGCAUACUAGACAAAUGGGUGUCAUGUGUUGUUUUGGCAUAACACAUAAACACUCAUAUAUCUAUGUCGUGUACUUGAAGAACUAUAGGGAGAUGCUUCCGAAGUUUCUAUAAACGUAGAGGAAAACUUUAGAUACUUAAGAUUGAAGAAACUUAUGCAUUCUUGAGUGGGAUAUAUAGGACCACUUACCUUUUGUAAAUAUGAAGGGAAUGUUGGAUAUAUUGAUGGGAGUGGAGGAGCUGAGUGGGAUGAAUGUAAUCGGUUAUGAUUUUGCUGAGUUGACUUGGUUUUGAGUCUUGUAAUUUUGUUUAUAAAUGGAGUACUAUCUCCAAUGUUGGUUUAUAAAUAUGUUUCAGCUGGCUGACCUAAUUUUUUGUUUCUAGGUAACAGGCUUUAUAUAUCUGUAAUUGAUAGCCAAGUGAAGUUCUCAGCAGUGGGUGAGGAUAUUUCUUUACAGAAGGUAUUGCAAACUGUUUUUUAGAUUAAUUAUUAUUGUAUAUAUACUUUAAUUUUCACAUCUUUUUCUCUGAUUCUUGUGGCUUUGCUUGCUUCCAUAUAUAUAAAACCAUAAAAUUGUAUAAUAAUUUUUUUAUUAUAUUGCGAAACUGCGCACACAUGAAAAUAUCUUGUUUAGUAGUAGAAAUGAAGAAUUAAAGUGAUUUAUUUAACUAAUUUUUCUAGUGCAUUAAAAGGAGAUAGUCAUGGACCAGAGUUGGGUUGGUUUGCCAAAUAGAUAUCCAAUUCAUAUACUGAUGGGGUCAAAAAAUUUAUAGAUUUUGCAUUUGAGAAUGUUGUUGGUGAUAAAAGAAUUUAUUGCCCUUUAGAAGUGUCGUAAUAUCGAUAUUUCAUUAUAAGGAAAGUAGCAAGAGACCAUAUCAUUAUAAAUGGCUAUUGGUUAAAGUAUUAAAACUGGAUAUUGGAGGGUGAGCCAUCUUCAUCUUUGAAAUCUAACUAAGAAACAGGUUAGUCAUGACUCGGGUAGUGAUGCUAGUAUGCUUGGAAUGAUGCAUAAUGCAUCACGUAAUCAAAUGUUCAAGUCACACGCAGCAUUGUUAUGGACUAUCUCCGACUUUCUAGCAUAUGCCAACUUGUUUGGGUGGAGUAUUAAAGGUAAAUAAGCAUUUCUUGUUUGCCAACAAAACACUAGAUCUAAUUGGUUGAUACAUAGUAGAAAAUUGUCACGUGGGUCACCGUCGAUUUUUACCAACAAAUCAUAGGUUCCGAAAAUAUAGUGCCAUCUGAUAAAACUAGAGAGUGGGGACAAGCACCUUCUCGGUUGUCUGGAGCCGAGGUGAAAAACCAGUUCAGUAAUGUACUUAAGAUUGAAGACUUGAAAAGAGGAGAAAAGAGGAGAAUGAAUAAAAUGAAAGAAAUGAUAAGAUUACUUGGAAGAAGAAAAGCAUUUUUUAUGAACUAACGUAUUGGGAGUUCAAUUUGAUUCAUCAUAAUCUCGAUGUCAUGCACCGUUUUGAUUUUUGUUAUGAACUCAGAUCAAAAGUUUAAUGUGAUCAAAAUUUCUUAAAAAUAGUGAAAACGACUCCUCCUAAUAAUAUGGAAGAUGGCUAUAAAAGAUAAUUUCUUAAAAGUUUAAUGUGAUCAAAAUUGCUUGUGAACGCAAGGGUUUUAGUUACACUGUCAACGCUGUCAAUGUAGUGAUACAAUGAAGAUGAAGUAAAGCAUUAGUAGAAUAAUGAAGUUGACCAGUAACACAGUAAAGCAAAUUUUAUUCCAGAGCAUGAAAACUUUUAAACAGUAACACAGCUCUUAUUCCAGAGGCUGCACGCGAGUGACCUGAAUCUUCUUCAGAACUUUCAAAUUUUAUCAAGCAAAGCUUUCAAAAUCCUUUGCCUUCCUAAGUUAGGAAAGAUAGAUGUGGAGCAAACUAUUUUUUUUAGAUAUUUUCACUUUGGGCUGUCAGCCCGAGGAAGUAGGGGGGUCUGAGUUAUUCAACUGAAAAUGUCGGCCAAGUUCUUGUGUUAGUUUUAGUAUAUUGUGUACAAAUGAUACACUAACUUGAAUUUAUAUGCUUUUAUGACUAUUUGAUAAUCAAAUGGGUAAAUGACACGAAUAACUUUGAGUUUAAAAAUCUGGCCCUGAUGCCUGGUAGCCCUCCAACCUAUGAAGCACUAGAUGUUUUAAUGAUAAAACGACAAGACCAUUUAUCAAAUUUCUUGUGGAUAUAAAUACAUACACAUAGACGAGACCAACCUCCUCAAAUGAGAAUCAGAGUGAUUACAAGACCUUUCAAUGAGACAAUAAUACACCAUCAAAUCUCAAAAUACAAUAGAAAUUCAUGACAUAUAUAUAAUAAAAGACCACUCAUUGAGUCAUAUAUAUUGAGAAUAAAUUUUUUUUAAUACAUACAAAGAGCUUAGCUAGAAUGAAAUGUCUUUGGACUUGCGAUGAAAACAAAGGAAACAGACAUGUUGCAACUCACACUAUCACAGAUGUAGCGACACAAUGCAGUGAAUCACAAGAAGAUCACGAAGAUGGAAACGGGAACCCCUCAGAAUGUAAACUUUGAAUAGAGGAAAAAAGGAAAACGACCUUAUUCACAGAGGACGAGUGACUUAAAUCUUCAUCAGUAUCCAAACAUUCUGCAAUCAUAGAGUAGAGAAAUUUUAACAGGAACAGCAGAGAAAAUAUUAUGAAUAUGCACUGAUUACGUUUUUUUUUUUAAUUUUUUUAAUCCGAUUAAUGAUAUUCAGCUGUUCUUUAAUUAUGUGUUCAUAGGGAAGAACAUUUUCUAAGUACUUUCCUUGCCUUCUAACUUUCCAAGGAAAUAUAGGUGUGAAGAAAAGCAAACCCAAUGAACAAACAGAGCACAAAGUAAAAUAAAAGAACAGCAAUGAUGACGAUAAAUAAUUGGCAAAGAAAGAAAGGAAAAAGUAUGCACGUUUUCAAGGAUUUAUAAAAUACGAAGGCUUUUAAUGGAAUUUUAUCAUAAAAACGUAUGCAAGGAGUUAUAAAAUUUUAGAAGACGAGGGGAGCUCGCAAAAAAAAAAAAAAAAGACUCAAAUUAAACUAGACUAAAAAGACAUUCAAUUAUGCAAAAUCUGUCCAUAAAAGUCUGAAAGGAUCAUUAAAAUUGCAUUGCAAAUUUAACAGUAAACCGAGGGAUCCAUUCUAAAUAAUUCAGAUGAAAUUGCGAAACAAGCCAUGGGAUUAAAUAAAUGAAAUAAAAAUUAAUUACCAGUUGAGACUUUCUUCUAAAAAUUCGCAACUCCAAGUCAUAAGAAGCCUAUGAAAUUAGUCGUACUGCGUAGAGUAUGACGACGACACCGCCAACAGCUGAAAGUAAAAUUCUUAUUCAUCAAUUUAAACUUUUACUUUAUAAAAAAUAUCUUAUCUAUAUUGUAUUUAAGAAAGCAAAUUUUGUAAAAAUUUAUCAUGGGAGAUAGAGAGUAAUAUGUAUAGACGUACCUUCUCAGCAUGUAAUUGUUGUAUGGUUGUGUUUAGAUCAUUAUUAGCCCAGCGCCGUUGAUCCGCUGUCUCUCCAUAGCAGACGUUUACUCUUAGAGGCAUGAUUGAUUCUCCUGUAGUGAAAAUCUUCAUCUUGGGACAACCAAUCACACACAAAUCUUGCAAAGAUGGGAAUUUGAAGGUGUAAUUGGCAGAGCAGAAACUUGUGAGGCUAUCUAAAUCACGCAGUUCCAACGUCUUCAAUUUGCGGAAAACAAUCUCUUCUUUUUCAACUCCUUCUUUGUCAUUUAUUACCACCUCUGUCAUUGCUCUGCAUUCACGCAUACGCACUGUGACGAGUUGCACUAGAGUUUUUGCUGUGGAGGAUGUUACCAAGUGUAUCAAUUCCUUGCAACCGAAAGCUACAAUUUCGGUUAGGUUCCGAAAAGAUACCGAUGAUGAUGGCAAUAGAAUUAACAGACUUUGACAAUCAUAUACUUUUAGAAUUUCAAGAUACUGAAAAAUGGGGCCAAGUUUGGAGUCUUGUUUGCACAGCUGCUCAAGAUGAUAGUGCUGGUGCAGCUGUAAUUCUUUUAUCAUUGCCAACUUCCCCACAUGUUUCUCUAAGCAUCCUUCCAUCGAAAAUACCUCUUCGUGGAAUGAAAAAUUACACAGUAUGAGUAUUUCGAGACUGUGAAAUCUCUCAAGUACAUUCCAGAUUGGAAAACAAGCUGAGUCAUCGCCACCAAUAUUUAGUUGUUUAAGACUGCCAAAAAGGUGUUGGGGGAAAUCGGCCUGCAAAAUCAUCUUCACGUCUUUUCCAUUUAAUGUUAGGUCCUUCAAGUUGGGUAAGAUCUGAUCAUCAUCAAUCAUAAUAAUUAUUAAGGUCAAUUGAUGUUCUCUCAAAUGAUUUUAAGUAAUCCAAUCACACGCAGUGACUUUAUAGUAUUUGUUUUAUAUUAUAUUUUACACAAAAAAAUGAAUUAUUGAAAAAAAUUAUUAAAUGAUUUUUUAUAUGUUAAUUUUAGAGGUAAAAAAGAAAUUAAGGAAAAAAUUUUGAUUUAUACUGGCUGGAAAUUAUUUUAUUGCACAAUAAUAAAUUACUAAUUUAUUUUGUAAGUUCUUAUAUAUGGAAAGACUAAGUAUCUCCAAAAGGCUCUAUAAAUUUUACUCUUUCAAAUUUCUAUUUGCUUACCUAUGUGGCAAAUAGAAAAGUGAAAAAAUAUGUUAUUCUCCAAAAGACUCUUCAAAUAGAAAUGAAUUAAUAUUAUUUUAAUUAAAUAACUAUUUUUAAAAAAUAAAAAGUCAAUAGUAAUUAAAACACCUCUCUCUCUUUCUCCAACAAAAAGUAAUAAAAUAUAAAUUGAAGAGGGGGAAUGCAACUCUCCAAAUUUGAAGAGAGAUGAUCAUUUCUUAUUUGAAGAAUCUUAAUUGGAGUAUCUUUUGGAACUUUAAAUGCUGAUGUGGCUCUUCAAAUAAGUAAUAAAAUCUUAUUUAAAGAGUCUUUUGGUGAUGCUCUAAGGAUUCUUUUAUAAAUGCUAUACCUAAAAAAGUUCAUAUAAUUAUUAAUCUAUCAAUAAAUCCCUUAGUCUAGACUAGCAAAGAUUAUUGUAUAAUAAAAGUUUUCAAUUUAUUGAGUAUUAAUUUAUUGAUGCUUUGUCAUAUUUUUUAAAGUUCAAACUAAGCUAUUGAUAGAAAUCUAGAAAAUGGCUUCAUACAUUUUCCAACGGCAAUAGGGCCUGUUGUGCAGGAGUAUCAAGUUCAUCAUUCUCAAAAAAAAAAAAAAGAUUGAAUUAUUGAUAAAAUUUAUUAAAUGAUUUUUUAUAUGUUAAUUUUAGAGGUAAAAAAGAAAUUAGGGAAAAAAUGUUGAUUUAUACAGGCUCGAAAUUAUUUUAUUGCACAAUAAUAAAUUACUAAUUUAUUUUGUAAGUUCUUCUAUAUGGAAAGACUGAGGAUUCUUUUACAAAUGCUAUACCUAAAACAAUUCAUAUAAUUAUUAAUCUACCACAUUGAUCCCUUAGUCUAGACUAACAAAGAUUAUUGUAUAAUAAAAGUUUUUAAUUUAUUGAGUAUUAAUUUAUCGAUACUUUGUCAUAUUUUUCAAAGUUAAAAAUAAGCUAUUGAUAAAAAAUCUAGAAAAUGGCUUCAUACCUUUUCCAACGGCAAGGGGGGCAGUUGUGCAGGAAUACCAAGUUGAUCAUUCUCAUUAUUCUGCGAUAAAUCUGCAGCGAAUAUCUUUAAUUUGUCACAACCAUACACAUAAAGAAUUUCUAGCGCGGGCCAUUCCGAAGUAUGCAUUCCAGGGUACAAACAUCUAAGUUUUGGUAGAUCUUGGAGUCUCAGAGUGGUGAGCGGUGGAAAGACAAAAUGAGGGAUCACUUGAUCUGCUCUGUUUUCAGAAAUGAUCUCCUGUAAAUCCUUACAGAAGCGUAUAUCUAGGUGUUGGAGCUGCUUAAGGCUUCCGAUCAUAGACGCUGAAAAUAUGUAUUUUAAUUUAUGACAACGAUGCACAGUCAAUCGUGUUAAAUUUUGAAAGCGAGGAAACAUGACCGGAAGAUUAUUGUAGUGCCAAAUCUUGUCGACAUUAAUUUCAUAUAUCUCCAAAGCCUCCAAGUUAGGCAACGCAACCUAAAAAAAUAAGAAUUUCUCGUUAGAUCCAAUAUCCAUAUGGGAAGCACUUGUUGAAAUUUUCUUCUUUGAUUACAAAUUAAUGCAAGUCUGAAUCAAUUUCCAACUGACAGCUGAGUAUGCAUUCUAAUUCAUACUACUUGUUAAGAGCUCAAUUAGUGAGCGCGUGAGAUUCUUUUUAUCCUUUUUUCCAUUUUCUUUCAAAUCUUUAAAUGAUUUAAUUACGAAAAAUUAAAUGAUUAAGCCCAUUUUAGUUGACCAAUUUUCUUAAUUAUAUGAAUAAAAUCUGUUAUAUAUGAAGAAAAUGUUAGCCUACGCACCUUCUCGUUGAAAAGCAGAGUUGAAGUAUCCAAAGUGAUUUCGCUGGAGCUAUACGUAGUCGUCGAUUCCUCCUGCGACGCUGGUCUGUUUGGUGAUGCUGAAGGAGUCUUUACUUCACGGCAGAAAUUUGUAACCUCUGGAAGAUUCCCCAGACUCAAAUAUCUUAAUUGAGCAAACUCUAUCUUCUCAAUUGCAUUAUCAACUUCUUCCCCAAUUGCAAAAAUCUCUUUCAUCUUGCUGCAAUUAAUAACUGCAAUUCUCUCAAGUCUUGGAAGGCAUUUUGUAGUAGAGAGCCAAAAGAUAUUACUCAAUUUAUCACAACUAUAUGCUUCUAUGGUUUUGAGUUUGUUGAAAGACUCUACUUUGAGCCGAUCAAUACAUAUCCUCUCCAUGUUGAUCAAGUUGUGAAGGAUAAGUGACUCCAAAGGAGGAAAGGCAUCACAAGCGACCAUCUCCCUGGAAUCGACGAUACAAAAGAUGUCAGGAUUAUUUUGAACCCAGAGAAGCUUCAAUUGUGAAAAGCCCUCCGUGUCCAAAUUGAAAAGAACACUCUCGAUGCCUUGCAGCUUGUCCAACCAUAAGCAUUCAACGUUAUUGAUGCCCUGCAAUUUCAUGGAGCAAAUGUCCAUAAAAUCAAGCUUGAGCUUCAAUGCUCUUAAACUCUUGCGAUCUCUGUCGAUCACAAAGUGCUGCCAACUUUUAAACCAUCUGUGUCUAAAAAGCAUGGGAUGUGUGAAUAACCCAUUUCCAAUAUGUAUUUGGAACCUUUCGAGCUUUCUGGCCAAAAAGCCUUCUGGUAAAAUACUAUCAUUUUUAACAUCAAUUUCUAGAGUGGUUAGCCGAGGUAAAUGCAUCAAUUCAUCAAGGCUAGCAUUACUUCUUUUGCUGUUGGCUCUUUCAACCUCCCAUUCAAUGGAGCAAUUACCCAUAUACAAUUCUUCUAAUCGGAUUAAGCUUGAUAUGACAUUUGGGGCAAUAACUUUCAGACGGAAACAGUCUGUUAAAUCUAACAACCUUAGCUUAGUCAGUUGACCGAGUGCUUUAGGCAACUCUACAAUAUCAGAUUCCAAAAAGCUGAUGAUUUCUAGAUUUUCCAACUUUCCAAUAAUGGCUAUGUCUAUGCCUCCCAAAAUGCUUUGAUUAAGACAGAGUGUCUGAAGAUUUACUAGAAGACCAAUUGAAGAUGGCAAUGACAAUAACCGCAUUCUAGUCAAAUCCAAAACCCGAAGCUUUUUCGUCCUUUUGAAGAAGUUCUCAGGAAUAUUAGGCACAGCAAAAGAGUUCUUGGGAGACAUGAGUAGAAGUUCAAGUUGUAGAGAUUCGGACCCUUCAAGAAUGUCAUUAAUAAUACUAUCUUUUAAAGAAAUUGCAAGAUAUUUUUUUAAUUCAUCUGCAUUUGGCCAUUUCCAAUCAUCCUCAUUUCUCACCACAAAUCCAAUUUUGUCACGACAUGCAAUUGAAAUGGCAACAUCGCGAACAACGUCGUGCAUAGAAAAGUAUUUACUGCCACCAUCCUCAAGCAACAAACAAGAGUCUCUUAGUUGAUGGACCCAUGCAUCUAAUUUGUUAUGUGCAUCUUCUAGCUUGUGGACACUUUUAAAUACACCCCAGCCCAUGCUAUAUUUGAACAAGUCCAUAAUUGGUGCUGGCGUAAUAAGACUACACAGUAAAAAAGUUUUCUUGAGUUGCUCACCUCUUAAGUACUUGUAACUCAGCUCAAUUGUUGAGUAUGCCUCUGCUGGUACUCCUUCGUCGAAGCUCGCCUCUGAAGGCGUUCGGAGUUCUUGCAAGGCAUUCUUCCACACAGGCAGCUCUUUUUUUCUCAGUGCCUUUGCUACUGUGAUUAGGGCAAUAGGCAAACCUCCGCAUGCCUUGGCUACACUUGUUGCUGUAGAUUUUAACUCACGAUUUUCAACAUAAUCACCAGCCAUUAUCUUGAACAAACUCCAGGCUUCUUGUUCAUUUAAAAUGCCAAUCGAGAAGUUUUUUUCAGAUCCCAUCCUUAACAGCACAUCAAGAUCUCUUGUUGUGAAUAAUAAUUUACAUCCUCUGUGCUCAACUCCAAAAGGAACUCCAAUAGUCCCCAAAUCAAGAGGUUUCCAGAUGUUAUCCAGAAUCACAAGGAUCUUCUUCUCAUUCUUCAAUCUUUCAUAUAGUCUACUAGCUCUUCUAGACUCAGCUUCCUCGGACAACUGUAGGCCUAACGUUACCGCAAUUUCCUCUUGGAUCUUUUUUAUGUCUGGACUUUGGGUAACCUCCGAAAAAGCCACCAUAUCGUAAAGCUUGUCUUCAAUGGCUCGCCUUGCAAACUCCCGCACCAGUGUCGUCUUUCCAAUGCCGCCCAUGCCGUAGACGCCAAUGAUGCUGACAUCAACAUCGAUCAAUGCAUUUUGUAUGGCCUUCAAAGUAGAAAGUCUUGAUUCGAAGGCCUCGUAGCCUUUGUGAGACUUGAGCCAAAUCUCCUCCGGAAUGGUACGGUAGGAAAUUCUAUCAUCAAAUCUCCCAGCUUCUUCUCGGAGUUUAAAAAGGGCCUCCUUCUCUGUUUCUGCUUUCUUUCCAUGCUGAUAGCGAGUAAUCCAAUUAGGAAACAGCCCCAUGAGACAUCGUUCAUUUGCUUUCUCUUCGUCUUGAAUGAAUUUGGCUGCCUCCUCAAUGCUCUUGUUCGCAUUAACCAGCCAUUUCUCAACCUUCUCUUCAAUCUUUUCACUUUUUCUUUCAGCCUCAGAAACUCUGCGCUGAAUGCUUUCUCUUUCAUCCUUGAGCCCAUCGAGUUCUUCCUUGAGAUUCUCAAAGUUGGCAGCGGAGUUAUACCAAUAACUAAAUUCGCGUUGUGCGUGAGGAGACAAGCAGUUUACAAUGCUUUUCAAAAUGUCCAUUGUUUUUUUGGGUUGGGGGGGGGGGGGGGGGGGGGGGGGGGGGGGGGGGGGGGAGGGGGGGGAAGGGAACGAAAUAGAAAUAGAACAGGGUCAUCGACCGCGCAAUUGAUAAUCAAGUAGAAGCAAAACAAGGCAAAAUUGGAAAAAGAAAUGAUAUUUGUACAAAACAAGGGGAAAAUCAGUGUAACAGAAGAGAAUCAAAGUGUUUUUGAGAUCAGAAAAUUGAAUCAAGAAAAGGGUUGCUUGAUCCAAUGAAAUGCAAACAGCUGGUGGCAAAAGGGAACGAAGCUAAAUAAGAAAACGGCUAGCACGAGCAGUGACCACGAUAAAUAGAAGCAAAGUGUGUAUGAGAUCAAAAGACGAAAAUCAGGAGAGGUUUUCUUGACUGAGAAUUGAAGGCAAAGAGUAGGAGCUGACGAAUACGGGGAUCAAGAGGGAAAAACUGCUUGCUCGUAAAACUACUUUCAAGCGAAUCUGAUAAAAUUAUUUCAAUACUCAUGGGCGACUCCUUUUUAAACUGCAGAAGGAAAAAAAAAAAAAAAAAAAGAGUUCUGAAUUUCAAUAUAUUAAUUUUUAUCCUAAUUUAUGUUGAGAUUCGUAAUCUCGUCUCAAUGAUUAAUUAGUAGAUAUUCUUUCUAACAAAUAUGUGUUGAAUAGAUAUAUUUCUUGACUAUUAGUAAGUUAGAUAUAUUUUGGCAUAGGAAUGAAAGUACCAAGUUGUGUCAUAUUAGAAUAAAAAUUUGAGCUAAAAAUAUUUUUCUAUGACCUUUUAAUUAUUUGUCAGCAAAUAAUUAAGUCAUAUAAAAAAAUUAAUAAUCUGAAUUAGUCUUUAAGUAUUAUAAAUAUUAUUUUUAUUUUUAAUUAUAAUAUCAUUAUUUAAAAAUAAUUGCUUGACUUAUAUUAGUAACAUUACGAUUGUCAUAAAACAUGUGAUCCUGAUCCAAUAUCCAUUAUUUGUGAUCCUUAAUCAAUAAAAUAUCUAACAAUAUCUUCACCUAAAGUUUGAGACAUGUGAUCCUUAUUCCACUGCGUCAAUUACACUCCAGACCAAUGCUGCCGUCAUUAUCGAACGGUCGAUAUCCAACACUUGCACGAAGAUUCCAAGAAGUUGCGUGGCUGCCGACUUUUAGAUGCAAAGCCUCAUUGUGUCGAUGUUACACAAAAGAGAGCAAGUCCGGGUAAUUGCCGAAACUUAGAACUAAACAGUAGCUUAGUCAGAAAAUCAAACGCCAGUAACCGUUAAAAUGACCGAUAAAAAUAUAAAGAAACCAAAGCUUUAAAAGAAAUCAGCCAAAUCACGAAGAUUGAAGAGUAAAUCUAUGGUUUUAGAUUUUUAUUUUAUUUUUUUAGAUAAUAGAUAUUAUUUUGAUGAAUUUUUAAUAUUAGAAUAAUGUUAGGAAUUUCGAUAGUAGAUUUCUAACUUGAGAUCCAAUUGUUAUGUAUCAUUUUUUUAUUGGAUAAUGAAUUUCAUAACUAGUAAAAUUAAUAUUUCGAUCAUCUAAUAAAUGACUAUCAUAUCAGUUGAGACUCAAUUAUUGGGAUCCUUAACAUUGCUCUUACUAUUAAAUUGGACAUCUUAGCUAAAUCAAAUUAGAUUUUAGGCUUUUAUCCAACAUCUCUUUUUUUUUUUUUUUGGUCUAUUUGAAGUGAACGAAAUAAAAAUACAACAGGUUCAACGACUGGGCAAUUGAUAGUCAAGUAGAAACAAAUCAAGGCUAAAUGGGAAAGAGAAAUGAUAUUUGUGCAAAACAAGGAGAAAAUCAGUGUAACUGAAGAGAAUCAAAGUGCUUUUGAGAUAAAAAAAAAUUGAAGCAAGAAAAGGGUCGCUUGAUUGAAUGAAAAUGCUAAGAGCUGAUGGCAAAAGAGAACAAUGUUAAAUAAGAAAACAGCUAGCUCUAGCAGCGACCACAAUAAACAGAAAAGUUGAGAUGGAUUUACAAUAUUUCUGUCUUUCUUCAUGCUUUAACAAAUAUUGCUCUAUAAAAAAAAAUAUUGAGCGUUUUUAUUAUUGGAAUCACAAAAGACCUACACAAUAUAGCAAGUGACUAGGAAUAAAUAAGAAUAUAUAACUCUCUCUCUCAUUCUCACUCUAGCUUUUAAUUGUCACUCAAAACCCAUAAUUCUUCCUUAAAGUGUAAGCAAAUAAGAGAUGACAGCGUCUGGUUGUCAUACGCGCCUUUUAGUUUUCGGAUGACAUGGGGUACACUUCUUCUGUAAACCGAACACGACAUGUCGUACUCUUUGUUUUGAGAUCAUAUUUCAAACUCUUCAUGCUAUGAAUGAAAGAUAAACUACAAUCAUCAAAAUAUUUAGUGUUUAUUUGGUAAUGUAAUGUCAUAGUUGUUGUGAAUUGAAAUUAUUUAUGUAAGAUAAAAGGAUUUGGGUCAUCGUUUGUUAUUCUCUGGCAAUAUUGUUUGGCCGUGACUACUUGAAAUUAUUUCUGUAAGAUAAAAGGAUUUGGGUCAUUGUUUGUUAUUCUCUGGCAAUAUUGUCUGGCCGUGACUAUUUGUUAAAUAUUUAAAAAAUAAAUUUAUAUUUAUUAAGUAUAAAAAAAAUAAACAAACAAAAAUAAAAGGAAAAGUUUAUACAUUACAUAAAAUAAUAAGAACAAUAUCAAUAUUUCACACUCUAUAAUUGAGUGAUGUGUUGUCCAACUGCCAUACUGAUAAACAGUGAACUCGAAACUCAAGUACUACAAGUCGUUUAGAGGAUUCAGUCUCGGAUGACUUGUCACUUGUAGAAGUUCCUGAAGCCAGAACCGACAUAAUCUUAGUCAUCUGUUCUAUCUUUAGUAGUACACGUGGUUUGCACAUGUGUUGAAGCUAACUCUUGCUUGGAUCAAGAAACGACGUCUCUGAGUGCAGUUUCUUAAUCACACUUAAAUCAGCGUGUGACAAGCACGUGAGGCAGAGCUUCUUGGAUAGAUUUGGCGGGAAUGGUAGUUGGCGUAACAACCCAGAAACAGAGGAUAAAAAGGUGCAGGCUUUGUCAUCGUCUUCACAUGAUUUGGGAAACACUGAGAGUAGAGAGAAGAUAGAGAGAGAAAGGGGUUUACAAGUUCUUGUUCUCUGUAAAUCAAUUCCUAUUCUUGUAUUGUUUUGUGAACGAAAUAGUGAAAGACUGUUGCUUUGUUUCCAGUGGAUGUAAGCACCACUUCUUGGUGCUGAACCACUUAUGCUUGGUGUCUUGUUUGUGAUCUUGAAAACUUUGAUUCGUGUGUGUAUUUGUUGCUGAAUAGUCUGUGUUAAUCAUUCUUAAAACCAUCGAUACAGAACUAAGUGUCUUGGGGAGAAUUUGGUUAAUCUUAUCAAAGCCAAAUUCACAACACAUACAUUGGUCCCAAACAGAGACUUAAAUAUUAAAGUCCAAAGUUAUUGUGAUGAUGACUUAUAAUCGCCAAACUUGACAUAGGGGUAAUCAUGCAUUAUAAGGUGCUGAUUUCUUCCGAUCAGAACCUUAUUUUUCAUUUACAAAUAAAUAAAUGAUGUGACUUCACGGUUGGCGGGGUCCUUUGUGUCAUUUGGGCAUUUCACUAAAUGAUUGAUUGCAGCAGGAAGAUUCCUGGAAGUUGCCAUUUGCCAAUGCUACUAACAUUUUCAAACUUGGAAAACCCUUCAAUCAAUCUUUUAGUGGUAGGCUCUGGUAGCUUGGUUUGAUUAUGACAUAUGAUUAUUUGAUAAUAAAGCUAGAGGAUGUAUUAAUAUAAAAUUUGUUUAUUGGUGUUGAAGUUAAUUAUCUCAUUAAUAAUGGUAUAAAAAGUUAAUUACUAAGAAACACAUAGCAGUAUUCUGGGAUAUAAUUUUAUAUCAUAACUUUGUAAGUGUAUAAUUACGCAUUAAAUUAACAAAAUUAUUUUAAAAUAUUUCGUUAGAAAAAAUAAAUUAUAUUCUUUUUAUUUCAAAUAAUCUAUAAGUUAACUCAAAACAUAAUCAAGUUGAGAAUUAAAAUAAUGCUACUGUAUGAGAGGAUUUUUAUUUUUUCCCGAAGUUUCACUAGGAAAUUAUUGAUAUAUAGCUUUAUUCGGAUCAUCUGAGUUCAAACGACAAAUAAUUGAAAGACUAAAGUAAAUAGACCAGCCAACAACUUUGUACAGCAGAGUUCAAAAAUUAAGGUCAUGGUAUUGAGGUGUUUUGUCUUGAAAAGUACGGCAUAAUGAUAAAAUAAAAACUAUUAGUCUUUGGUAAGAUAUAACUUUUAAAUAAUAAUUUUCACAAAAAUACAAAGAAUAUUUUAUAAAGUACUUCUAUAGUGAGGAGACCCUCACUUUGUUAAAGUGAAAAUAUCAAUAAUAUACAAGAAACAUAUAUUCUAACAUAUUGAGAACUGUAUCUUUUUAAUCUAUUAGUGUAUUGAAAUAUGUGUUAUUUAGUUUGUUAGUGAUAUCAUCACUUUGUUAAAAUACGGAUGUCAGAACCAUUAUAUUUUAAAGUUUUACUUCAUUGCUUUAUUAAUCUUAUUACUAUUUCUCCUUUGCACUUCUAAAGAAACCAAUUAACCAAAGCUUUAAAAGAAAUCAGCCAAAUCACGAAGAUUGAAGAGUAAAUCUAUGGUUUUAGAUUUUUAUUUUAUUUUUUAGAUAAUAGAUAUUAUUUUGAUGAAUUUUUAAUAUUAGAAUAAUGUUAGAAAUUUCAAUAGUAGAAUUCUAACUUAGGACCCAAUUGUUAUGUGUCAUUAUUUUAUUAGAUAAUGAAUUUCAUAACUAGUAAAAUUAAUAUUUCGAUCAUCUAAUAAAUGACUAUCAUAUCAGUUGAGACUCAAUUAUUGGGAUCCUUAACAUUGCUCUUAGUAUUAAAUUGGACAUCUUAGCUAAAUCAGAUUAAAAAUCAAAUUAGAUUUUUUGCUUUUAUCCAACAUCUCUUUUUUUUUUUGGGGUCUAUUUGAAGUGAACGAAAUAAAAAUACAACAGGGUCAACGACUGGGUAAUUGAUAGUCAAGUAGAAGCAAAUCAAGGCUAAAUGGGAAAGAGAAAUGAUAUUUGUACAAAAUAAGGAGAAAAUCAAUGUAACAGAAUUACAGAAGAGAAUCAAAGUGCUUUUGAGAUCAGAAAUUGAAGCAAGAAAAGGGUCGCUUGAUCCAAUAAAAAUGCAAAGAGCUGAUGGCAAAAGGGAACAAAGUUAAAUAAGAAAAUAGCUAGCGCUAGCAGCGACCACAAUAAACAUAAAAAGUUGAGAUGGAUUUACAAUAUUUCUGUCUUUCUUCAUGCUUUAACAAAUAUUGCUCUAUAAAAAAAAUAUUGAGCAUUUUUAUUAUUGGAGUCACAAAAGACCUACACAAUAUAGCAAGUGACUAGGAAUAAGAAUAUAUAACUCUCUCUCUAAUUCUCACUCUAGCUUUUAAUUGUCACUCAAAACCCAGAAUUUAUCCUUAAAGUGUAAGCAAAUCAAAGAUGACAGCGUUUGGUUGUCAUACGUGCCUUUUAGUUUCUGGAUGACAUGGCGCACACUUCUUCUGGAAACCCAACACUACAUGUCGUACUCUUUUGUUUUGAGAUCGUAUUUCAAACUCUUCAUGCUAUGAAUGAAAGAUAAUCUACAAUCAUCAAAAUAUUUAGUGUUUAUUUGGUAAUGUAACGUCAUAGUUGUUGUGAAUUGAAGUUAUUUCUGUAAGAUAAAAGGAUUUGGGUCAUCGUUUGUUAUUAUCUGGCAAUAUUGUCUGGCCGUGACUAUUUGUUAAAUAUUAAAAAAAUAAAUUUAUAUUUAUUAAGUAUAAAAAAUAAAUAAACAAACAAAAAUAAAAGGAAAAGUUUAUACAUUACGUAAAAUAAUAAGAACAACAUCAAUAUUUCAUACUCUAUGAUUGAGUGAUGUGUUGUCCAACUGCCAUACAUUGGUCCCAAAUGGAGACUUAAAUAUCAAAGUCCAAAGUUAUUGUGAUGAUGACUUAUAAUCGCCAAACUUGACAUACGAGUAAUCAUGCAUUAUAAGGUGCUGAUUUCUUCCGAUCGGAACCUUAUUUUUCAUUUACAAAUAAAUAAAUGAUGUGACUUCAUGGUUGGCGGGGUCCUUUGUGUCAUUUGGGCAUUUCACUAAAUGAUUGAUUGUAGUAGGAAGAUUCCUGGAAGUUGCCAUUUGCCAAUGCUACUAACAUUUUCAAACUUGGAAAACCCUUCAAUCAAUCUUUUAGUGGUAGGCUCUGGUAGCUUGGUUUGAUUAUGACAUAUGAUUAUUUGAUAAUAAAGCUAGAGGAUGUAUUAAUAUAAAAUUUGUUUAUUGGUGUUGAAGUUAAUUAUCUCAUUAAUAAUGGUAUAAAAAGUUAAUUACUAAGAAACAAAUAGCAGUAGUUAAUUGGUGUCAUAUUAUUGGGAUUCUGGGAUAUAAUUUUAUAUCAUAACUUUGUAAGUGUAUACUUACUCAUCAAACUAAUAAAAUUAUUUAAAAAUUUCAGUUGGAAAAAAUAAAUUAUAUUAUUUUCAUUUCAAAUAAUCUAUAAGUUAACUCAAAACAUAAUCAAGCUGAGAAUUAAAAUAAUGCUACUGUAUGAGAGGAUUUUUAUUUUUUCCCGAAGUUUCACUAGGAAAUUAUUGACACAUAGCUUUAUUCGGAUCAUCUCAGUUCAAACGACAAAUAAUUGAAAGACUAAGCUAAAUAGACUAGCCAACAACUUUGCACAAGAGAGUUCAAAAAUUAAGGUCAUGGUAUUAAGGUGUUCUAUCUUGAAAAGUAUAGCGUAGUAAUAAAAUAAAAACUAAUAGUCUUUGGUAAGAUAUAACAUUUAAAUAAUAAUUUUCACAAAAAUACAAAGAAUAUUUAUAAAGUACUUCUAUAGUGAGGACACCCUCACUUUGUUAAAGUGAAAAUAUCAAUAAUAUACAAAAGACAUAUAUUUUAACACAUUAAAAAUUGUAUUUUUUUUUAUCUAUUGGUGUAUUGAAAUAUGUGUUAUUUAGUUUGUUAAUGAUAUCAUUACUUUGUUAAAAUGAGAAUGUCGUUACUAGAGAAUCAUUAUAUAUACAUAUAUAAAGUGCCUCUGUCCAAGACCUAGACUUUAUUAACAUUUAAGAAAGCAAAUAUAUUUUAUAUGGUAUAAUAGUGUAAUAACAUCACACAAUUAUAUCAUAUAGAGUAAUAGUUUUUCGAACUUUAAUAAAGUUCAAGAUUAUAGAAUGAAUGAUUUUUAUAUAUUAUAAAUUUUUUUAUCAUAAAUGGAGGACAAAAUUAACAUAUUUUCAAAUUAUAAUAAGUAUUUAUCAAAUAAUUUAACAUUGCAAUUUCUCCUAACUAGUAUAGUAAAUAAUACGACCUAGGAGAUACAUUCAAAGCAUUUCAUAAGUUAGUUGUUAAUAAUAAAUGAUAUAUGCAGCUCCAAUCAUCAUUGUACGGUGAGUAAUUUCCAGUUAUAAAUAGAUAUUACUCCCUUCCCAGCAAUUUUUGAUGACUUAAUUUAGUGGGAUCAAAAUCAACAUUGAAUUUUUGACCAGCUGCCAACAACUUGUGAGCAGUUCACAGUGGGUACUGCACAUGAUGCCUGUUUCUCCUUUUGCAUCUAUUUUUGUUGUUAACAUUAAUUUCAAUAGCAGCUCGUUAAUCCCAAUUGUUGAUUUGGGACUAGAUAAGAAUUUAUCUUGGAACUCCAAUUCUCCCAAUUAUUUUAGUUGACAAUAUAUUUAACAUUAUUAAUUGCAUAUUAUUUAAUUAUCAGUAUAUAAUAUUCUUUAAUUUUCUAAUUUUAUAGGAUUAGACACAAAAUUGAUUAUGCCUUUUGAAAUUUAAGGGUUAUGUCAAUUGAAUAGAAAACUUGGAGGUAAACUUGUGGAUGUUUUUGUUGAUUAUCAAUUUAUGCAUGAAUUUUUGUACGUUUACUUUGGUUUAUAAUUAUUACUUUUAAAUAUUUUUGUUGGUUUGAUUUAGGGUCAAUUUGGUAAUCCUGUAGCUUUUAAAAUAAUUACAAUUAGUUAUGCUGUAGAAAUUGAUCAAUCGUCAAGAGAAUCAGCUGAACAUUUAGUAAAAUUUAUUUUUAAAAGUACUUUUAGUUUUAAAAGCGUUGUAUGAAUAAAACUGUUACACUAAAAAUUAAAUGUAUUGCCCACAUGGGUAAAUAAAGCUAUAUAUUACAACUGUUACACUAAAAAUUAAAUGUAUCUUAAACCCAAACUUCUUCUUCCUUUUUUUUUUUACUAACAAAAUUAAAAACAAUAGUGAACACAUUCUUUAAUAAACAAUAAGUAAUAAAUAAAAUCGUGUUAAAUUUCUUAAAAACUUUCUUUCACGGUUUGCUAAAUAUUUUUAUUAGUAUUUUAAAUAAAUAAAAAUAGUUGAUUUAAUUUUUUUAAAUAAACUUAUUAGGUUCAUGUAAAGAUGUUUUUGUUAUUUUAAAAAGUGUAGAAAGUACUCCUAAAAAAAAGCGUAGAAAGUAAAACUUAAUUUUUUAAAUUUAUUUGCUGAGUGCAUAAAUAAUUGAGUGUUCAUAAUGAUUUUUAAAGUAUAGAUAGUCGGACCCUAAUUUUUUAAUAUAUGAAAAUUUUGCUAAUAUGUUAAUGAGAAUUAAAAAGAUAAUUAAGGGAGGCAAUCGAGACAUUCAGGAUAGUUAGGAUGGGACAUGAUUGUGAGUGGUUUGAUAUUGGUCCUAAUUUUGAUCACAAAUAUAUAAACAGGACGAGUUUAUCUCUACUGACAUUCCAUUUGAUAAUUAAGAUGAGAGCGGAAUUGUCAAAUCUCAAAUCAUCCUGAACCAUUGCCAUCAAAGGUACUCUCACUAAUAAUAUCUAAAGAAAAAUCUACAUCUAUUUCAUACUUUUUUUUUUUAAACGGAAAGAGCCUUCAUGGGGCUUGAAAUGUUAUCCCAAAUAGUAUUAAGAAUAUCAAGCCAUGAUUGGGUUUGAGACAAACAAAUAUUACAUAGUUAGGAUACGUAGUUAUAGUGUCCCAAUUUAUGUAGUAUCUAUCAUUUAGUGCACAUAUAAAAUAUUAAUCAGCUUAAUUAAUUUAUAAAAUUUAAAUCUAAUUAAUAAGUGAUACAUAAAAGCCAAGUGCAAUAUUGUAUAUGCAAAACAUGUUUGUGGAUCAUUACAAAACUUGCUCUUGAAAACAAGCAAGAAAGCUUAAUUAAGAACUUAAAACAAAAAGAAUUAGAUUGAAAACAGUCAAGCUUUAUUUUUUCAAGGAUGGAGCUUAUAAAUCUUCAAGUACCAACAUAUGCUUGGCCCAAUUGUUGUUAUUAAAAUUUCAAUAUACAUAUAUAAGUAUGAUAUAGCAAAAAUUUGAUGGUACAUAUCUCGGAAUAUACUAGUUCAUGGAUGCAUUUGAUUAUUGUUUCCAUAAAUUUGAACCGGGAAGGAUGACAUGAUAAAAUUUGAUUUUAUGGUAUGGUUGAUUUCAGAUCUCAUGCCCUCAUUUCUUAAGAUAAUCAAAUUUUCUCUGGCAUCUUUUGCAACUGUGGAAAUAUCAAUUAUGAUCAAUCAAAACGAUUUCAAAACCUUUUAACGAGACAUAUUUAUAAUACAAUAUUGUGAAAAUUACAACAAAAAAUUAAUUUAUUAAAUAAUAUAUUAUUAUCCAACGAGCACACAAAAAUGAAUUCGUACAAAUCUAAAAUACUUAGCAAUUUUCAAAUAGAAUUUACCAUGUACUACAAGAAAAUAGGGUAUAUGUGACCCCUAAUGUGAAUGCAAAUUUGCAAAAGCAGCCAUUACGCAUGCCACUAACUUCUAACUUUGCAACCUCGAGUUGCUUACUUGCUUUUGUUACCCUUUAUGUGACGGCCACACUGCUGUCACAUAUGUUACUAACCACGUGACGGUAAAGAGCCGUUCGGUAUAGCACUAUUUUAGAAAUUUAAAUUUAUUUCCAGUUAGAAAACUAUUCGCUGGAAUAGCCACCAUCGUAAACCUAACUGGUUGCCGGCGAACGGCGUAAAACACCGGGCAUCUUCUUCUUCAUCGUAUUCUCCCUUCAUCUUUUGAGGUAAGCUUGUGAUUAUGAGUUUCUUCUCUGACUUAGCUUGUAAUUAUAGAUUUUGAUUUUUUUUUUUAAAUUCGUAUUGUAGCCAUUAUUGUCAAUUUUUGUCCCGCCAGCAAUAUUUUUUUAUUCCUACAAGUUGAAGCCCCUGUGUUCUUGUUCCAUUGGUGAGUUUGCUCACUCAAAUUAAUUUUGUUCUGCGGAAUUUACAAAGUUCAAAUGGAUUCAUUUGAAUUACUAUUGAAUUUAGCUUUAAUUCCAACAUCCAUUCUAAUGUUUUGCUAUUAGAUUUAGUUUAAUUUUAUGUUUAAAGCAUCUACAAUGAAUAGCGGAGCUUGGGUUUUAGUUUCAUUUUCUGGAUAACUUGUUUUAGUUUAUCUUGUAUGCUCACCAAGUGCUUGUUAUAUUGUCUGAUAAGUUAUAUACAUUGCUGAUUCUAUAUUAAUAAUGUUACGUUCUAUUUUCAGAAAUUAUAAUACAAAAGUUUUUACAAUGGCGUGCAUCUACAAACUGAAUUGACUUGUAGAAUAAGAGCUUGCAGUAAAUGAAAGUUCAUAUUGUGUAAGAGCAUGGAGAUGUAAAGCAUCAUUACCAUAUCUACAAAGUGCUUUCAUUAUGGUCAGAUGCUCUUCUUGAACUUUGAAAGGUGCCUCGUUCAAGUCCUAGCUAUAACUACUAGCUUUGAUUAAUUAAGUUCCAAUACUAGCUGAAACAGAUUUAUUUAAUUAAUUAAUUGUGUAUAUACUAAUUAUAUUGAAAGUAUAUGAAACUUUUUUUUUUUUUAAACAUGAAUGACUUCUAAAUGACUUAAAAACCUAAAGGAUGUGUGAAAUAAUGCUCAUUUCACUUGAAUGAGCCUAUUAAUACUUUCUAUGAUUGUCAAUAUUGGCUUAAGCAUUUCAGUUAAGUGGUUUACCUAACAGAGAAAAAAAUUUAAUAGAAAACUUCAGAGUUCUAACAGAAAUAUAGUUCACUCUGCAGAUAUAGUUAUUUUACGGUAUACAAAUUAAGUUGUCCUAAUCUCAAUGUCCUGUGACCGAUUUUAUUUUAUAUAGUCAUUAAUUUUUGCCAUGGUUUUUUGUGUUUAUGAGUAUGAAAUAGUGGGAUUUGGUGUACCUUAGCAUCUUUUGAAAAUUCUCUUUAAGUAUGGCCAACAGAAAUAUACAUAUAAUCAAGUUUCUUAAUUGUGUAUAUUAGUUUUGGGUACGAAUGUUCCUAUUCUAGUUCUAGACAAAGCUUCUUUGUUUUGGUCUUCAGAUUUCCAGUAGGUUAAGUUAAUCAACUAUCAUAACUGGCUAGCUACUUAUUGUCUGCCUUGGCGCCAUUACCCAGGCCAUUAUAUUGCAUAGCAUAAGGAAUAGUGAUUAGGUGAUUAUUAGUGAUUUGUUGAGCUUAUUAUUGACCAAACAAACAUAUUCGCCUUUGCCCACAACCUAGUUUGAUUAGUUUUAGACCACAAAGAGCCUUGAUCUAUUCAUUGGCUUUAUUAUUUUUAUUUGGUUUUUCUUUCAACAAUAUUUUUGAUUUCUUAUAAAAAUAUUCAUUGGUUUUUAAACACCUAGUCAUUGGCUAUAUGAAGCAAAUUAAAACUGAGGCUUUGGAUCAAUUUCUUCUAACAAGAUACAAAUGAGCAUAACCUUUCUCCUCUAAGUAAUUUUUUUUAAUAUCCUUGAUUUGUAAGGAUCUGGAGGCCUGAAAUCCUCUAGAUUUUUUUUAACACUGUCAAUGUCCUUUUUAUUCUGAAAAGGAAAUAAAAGGUUUUAUCUUUCAUACCCUAAUAGUAGGCUGGCCUUGUCUUAACAUGGCUUCUUGAGGAUUUGCAAGAUUCAUAGUUCCCCCAACACACGCCCCCCAAAAAAAAAGAAGAAAAAGAAAGAAAAAAGAAAAAAGGAAGAUUUUGCAAGAUUCACCACCAGUUUUUUUUUUUAAUUUAUUAAUUGUGUGUACGUACUAGUUAUAUGUUGAAAGAAUAGGCAGAAGUAUUUCAACAUGAAUGACAUAAAACUUAUUGCUCAGUAAACAUAAUCUGCAUCAGUGGGAAAAUGUAUUUAUCGUUUGUAUUUUUUAUGGUUUUGCUUAAGAAAUGAUAUGUGAAAUAAUGCUACAUUGUAUCAGGAAUAAAUUGAAGAGAUUUAUGAUAUUUAUGUGUUAUUCAAAUUUCAGAUUCAAUUUUAAACUUUUGAUACGUGCAUUGAAAGCUUAGACUUGUUUAAGAAAUUAUUAAUAGACACAUGUUGUAUUAGUGUCAUCUUUGGAUGAUAGUGAGGAUCAUAUGUCUAUUAAUAAUUCUUGAAUUGUCCAGGCUUGGACAGUUUGGGAAUGCAUAGUUCUCUCUGGUAGCUAGUAGCUGAAGUUUUCUUCCCACGUAAAAAUGGCUUUUUCGGUAGCUGCUCCUCGUGUUCUCUGGGUACGUACUAGGUGAAUGGGUGUCAUGUGUUGUUUUGGCAUAACGCAUAAACACUUAUAUAGCUUUGUCGUGAGCUUGGAGAAUUAUAGGGAGAUGGUGCUGAAAUUUUUAUAAACGUAGAAGAAAACUUUAGGUACUUGAGAUUGAAAAAACAUAUGCAUUCUUGAGUGGGAUAUGUAGGAUUUAUCACUUACCUUUGGUAAAUAUGAAGGGAAUGUUGACUCCUUGAAAUAUGCCCAAACCCAUGGAGUAUCUAAAUAAGUCUGAAAACCAAACACUGUUACCUACUAGACGACAAAGCAGAAAAAUUUUCUUGACUCGCUCACCUUUUAAAUAAUUGAAACUCAGCUCAAUACUUGAAUAAGUUUCUGCAGGCACAUCUUCGAAGUUUACCAUUGAAGGCGUUCGGAGCUCUCGCAAGGCAUUCUUCCAUUCAUGGAGACUCUAGUUUCUCAGUGCCCUCAACGCAAUGGGCAAACCUCCAUAUGCCUUAACUACAUUAAUUGCUGUAGACUUGAACUUACAAUUUUCAACAUCAUCACCAUUCAUUAUCUUAAACAAUCUCCAGGCUUCUUGUUCAGUUAGAUUGCCAAUCAAAAAGUUAUCUUUGGAGUCCAUACUUAAAAGCACAUUAUUAUCUCUUGCUGUCAGCAAUAGUCUACAUCCUUUAUGAUUAUUUCCAAAAGGAAUUCCAACCGUCUCCAAAUCAAGAUGUUUCCAGAUAUUAUCUAGAAUCACAAGAAUCUUAUUCUCACUCUUCAAUCGUUCAUACAGCCUACUAGCUCUUCUAUAUUCAGCUUCAUCGGACAACUCCAGACCUAACUUCUCUGCAAUUUCCCCUUGAAUCUUUUUUAUCUCUGGAGUUUAUGAAACCUCUGAUAAAACCACCCCAUAAAACAGCUUUUUUCCCUGGCUUGCCUAGCAAACUCUUUCACCAGUGUGGUCUUUCCAAUGCCGCCUAUGCCGUACACCCCAAUAAUGCUGACAUUCGCCUCCGUCAAUGCAUUUUUAAUAGACUGCAAAGUAGAAAGUCUUGAUUCGAAGGCCUCGUAACCACUGCUAGACUUAAGCCAUAUCUCCUCCGGAAUGGUACGGUGGGAAACAGUAUCAAACUUCUUAACUUCUUCUCCAAGUUCAAUAAUGGCCUUCACCUCCGUCUCUGCUUUCUUGCUAAGCUGAUAGCGACUCUUCCAAUGAGGACUCAAGCCCUUGACACAGCGCUUAUUCGUUGACUCCUCAUCUUCAAUGAAUUUGGCUGCCCGGUCAAUGAUGCCGUUCGCACUUCGCAGUAACCAGCCACUUUUCAACCUUCUCUUCAAUCUCUUCCCCUUUUUCUUUCGCCUCUGAAACCCUGCGCUGAAUGCUCGUAUGUUCAACCUUCAACUUCUCCAUUUCCGCCUUGAUAUUCUCAAAGUUGGCAUUGUAGUUCCAAAUAAACAAGUUGGCGUGCAGUUGGAGGAGCCAAGCAUUUUACAAGUUCCAAGACGAUAGUCACAAUGAUUUCCAGCAUCUCGAAUCCUGACAAAAACGUAGAAGCGAAGAAAGCCAAAGGAAAGUAAAAACAAAGAGACAGCGAUAGGACAAGCAAUUGUGUUUUUCAGAUGAGAUGAAGGAAACAAGAAAAGGGUUUCUAUCACGACGUAAAGAGCUAAAAGAGCUGAUGGGUACAGAAUAAGAAAUGAGACUGAGGAGUGAGCAAAGCUAAAUAAUAACAGAACAAGAACAAUGACGAAUAGAAGAAACAGUAGCAAAGAGCCGUUUAGAUGAUUAGAAUGAAACUAAGCGACUGGAAAUAGUAGAUGGUAGACUAAAGAGAAAGUGAUUGAUUAUUUUAGGAGGCCAAUUAACGUAAUGACAGAUCCGGUUUCGAUGUUUGUAAUUUGAGUAUGAGGUAAAUCGAUUCUUUGUCGAGCCAGUCAAAUACAAAGGCAAAUUAGUAAAACACGAGCCAGCAACUUUUACUCACACAAAAGCCAAUAAUAUAUUGAGAUCACGCAACAUUGCAAUAAAGUUAUCAUCAAGUUGUAGCCUUCUUAUUCAAUCAAUUAUGGCAUUAUCUCUAGCUCUGUAUUUUUCAAAAAAAAAAUUAUUAUUCAAAAGAUGUCUGUCAUUAAUUUUUCAAUGAUUAAAAUUAUAAUUUUUGUUUAAUAUAUAUAACGUAAAAUUUUAAAAGAAUCAGACAUGCAUUAGGGUUAAAAUAAAAAAUAUGGAGGUAGCUUUUAACUAGGUAAUUGGCUCAACUAUGGAUCAGUGUGAGAUCACUAUUUUUCUUAUUAAAAAAAAUUCCAGCCAAACAAUUGUCGCAAAAUCUUAAUAUAAAUUACAAAAAAAGACAAUAUUUUCUAAAAUCAUAGCAAUAAUUUAUAUUUUGAAUACCUGUAAAUAAACCACUUAGAAAGCUUUCGAAACACGAAUAUUGUUGUCGUUUUUAAAGACUUGACAUUUUGGGUAAUCUGAAUUAACAAUGCACAUCACUUGUUUGUCACAAUGUCCAAAUAAAUAAUUUUAAAAAAAAGUUAUUUUCAUUCUUUCUUUUCAGGUAUCCUAAUUCCUUUUGCAGUUUGAUUCCUCUUUUCCUGAAUUUCACACAGCGCACCCACAUUUUUUGACCAUGUGCACCUCCCCCUAUUUCUAUUAAAAAAUCAACUAAUCUAACUGUUUAGGCUGUUAUAAAUUUAAAAGACUAUACUACCCUUAUUUUGAAUGAAUUGGGUAUAUAAGUACUAAAAUACCCUUACAACUAAUAAAAUUUAAAUCAAAAAGUAAAAAUUUAUUAUAAUAUUUUUAAAUUUAUAUGUAUACGAUUUUUUCCCGGAUUACAAACCCAAGAUUAUAAACCUAGUAAAUUACAAAAUCAGAGGCAAAGCAUGAUUCCAAUGUGAAAGAAAAAAAUCAAACACACAUUCAUCAGUACAUUACAAAAUAAAUCCGAUAAUCCCACCAAAACAAAUAAAACCCAAUAGAAAGAAACCCUAAACUAAUGAUACCAAAAUCCCUGAGAGCAAAUUUCAUUGUAAAAUUCUAUUACAAAAUAAAUUCAUACUAAGAAAAUUCAAUAAAAAGAAACCCAAUAAUCAAAAAUCUUAAAACUAAAGAUAUCAAACCCAAAAUUAAAUUAUAGAGGUGGCGAAAGAAAAAGGGUUUUUUUAAUUAUAUAUAUUAUUUUAAUCUUGUGUUAAUUACCAUUCUACCCUUCUUUCCGUUAACAUUAGAUUUGAAAGAAAUGAGGGUGGUGGACAUGGUCUGUAGAUUGGGGGCACAAUGCAAAAUGUCAAAACAAUUGGGGCUAAUGCUAAAUUACACAUUAUUUAAAUUAAAUUAUCCUAAUUGUAUUUUUAUUAAUUAAUUAACAAUUAGUUUCAUUACUAUGAUAGUUUUGUCACUAUGUUUGUUACCAUCUCUCAAAAAAAAAAAAAAUUACUUUUACAUGUCGAAUUGUGUAACAACGAUUUAAUGAAAAAUUAGAAAACAGCACGACAUCUCGUGGCUUAACAUGGUCAUCAUGAAUAUCCCUUAUUAUUAAAAAAUGAACAAACAAACUCUUUUUUAAUACAUGUAGUCCUUUUUUUUAUAUUUCAAAAUAGUUAAACAGAUCCUGAAUUUGUGUGUUCCUCAAUAAAUUUUCAUGAUCAUUUUUUAAAAUAAGGGAUUUUUGUGAUUAUUUUGCCACGUCCAAGGAUGCCGCUGUUCUUGUCACCAAAAAUUAUUCUCAUAAGAGUCAUGAUUAAUUGGACGUCAGCAAUGAGGGCAUGUAAUGAAAAAAAUUUGUUUUGCAUGGGAUCCAAUAAUUUUAAUUACAAUGGUGGUGACAGACCCAGCUGGAAAAUCAACUGAUUUUAGAAUUCUGUUGAAAAUUCUUUAAAUGAUCACUAUAUCUCUAGUUCGAUUAUAUCCUUAAGCUCAUUGAUUCUUUUGUAUUGAUUUUGUUACUUCUUUUCUAAGAAAUAUUAUAAGAACUGCUCAGGCUGUAAGAUUGAUAAGCUUAAAGAGUCGGAACGAGGCUUACCAGUUCGUAAGCUUUUAAUUAUUUGGAUUGCUGUGCUUGCAACUGGUAAAUUUUUCAACUUCAACUCGAUAUAAUGAUUUUGGAGAGAACCAUUUACAGUGAUUUUCAAUUCUUUUGUGAUUUUUUUUUUCAGUUCUGCCAGUCUCAUCUCUCUUUCCCUUCCUUUAUUUUAUGGUGAGUGGAUUAUUAUUGCCUUCAGCGCAGUGGUUAUUAGUGAGAAAAUUUAUAUUUUCCUAUCAAGCUUGGUGAUUUUCUGAGAAAUAUAAGAAAAGACAAGUUUUAUAUGUCAAAUAAUUCAUUGCUUUUUCACAGCAGUCAUUUAUGAUUUCUUUUCAGAUUAGGGAUUUUCACAUUGCAAAAAGGGAGGAAGAUAUUGGAUUCUAUGCUGGUUACGUGGGUGAGUUAUUCUAUGUUUUUUUUUAUCGUAUUUAAUAAAUGACACACAGUAUGGAGUCCGUCUUGGGUACGAAUGUCCACACCUUAUAAAGUGCUGACUCACGCCUUUACAACUCUGGGAAGACAUUCUACCGAGACUUUACAUCACUGUAAACGCACUGUACAAGAGCUUUACAAUACGGACCCGCGUCUUUACAACUUUAAAGGGCCAAGUCUAUGCUUUAAAAAGUACAUAUGUUCGCACCUGGAAACGAUUUACAUAUGUAUGUAUAUAUGUAUAUAUGUAUGUAUGUGUGUGUAUAUAUAUGUAUGUAUGUAUGUGUGUGUGUGUGUGUGUAUGUAUGUACGACCAAUAAAACAGUUCAAAUUCCUCGAGAAGUUAUCCUAACAAGCAUCUUAAUACCUUGAUGAAAUUGAAGGGUCUUAAUACAUGCUUGGCAGAGCUCUAACAUCUGUUUUGUGGGGAAUGGUGGCUGACCGCUGUGGUCGAAAGCCUGUAAUAAUAAUAGGAAGCAUCACAGUGUUAGUGACUUCUAUUUUCAUAUGAUCAAGCUUGAAAUUGAUGAUACUUCGGCAAUUUCUGGAUUUCUUGUCUGUCUUAAAAUGCUCACAGGGUUAUUUUUAACACUCUUUUUGGGCUUAGUGUGAAUUUCUGGAUGGCCAUAGCUACAAGGUUUCUCCUUGGGGCUUUGAAUGGUUUACUUGGACCAAUAAAGGUAUUGAUUGGGGGUAUUUGUUGAUAAUUCCAAUUUAAUUCCUGCAAAUAUUUGUGCUCAAACUUCUCUUACACCACGAGGCAUAUGCAUGUGAAAUAUUGCGCGAUCAGCACCAAACUUAUUACGAAACCAAAAAUGUUACUUGUUUUCUGUACUUGCUUUCGCAUGCAUCACCCCCACAAAACUGCUUGACGAUUGUCCUCAUUUUGAACUUACUAUAGGUUUCAUUCUCCUUGUUUUUCAACUUACUCUGUACCCUUACGUCGAGAGGAUUAUUGGGCCAAUAAUCAUAACACGAAUUGCAGGGGGUAAUAUUUUGAACACCUCAUGCGGCAUUUGGACCAUUUGAUAGUUUGUUUCAAACAUAUCUGUUUAUAAAAUACUUUUCUUCAUGGUUUUGGUCCCAUAACUUUCUAUGUAUGUACAGGUUUUAUCGAUACCGCUUUUGACAAGUUACACUUACAUAGCAAUGCUAUCUGGGUUCAGCCUUGCCUUUUUGAUAAACUGUGCUUCUGUGAUGAAGAAUGUUUUAUCUGUAAGUGGAUAUCCUAAUCAUUGAUCCAUAUACUAAGGUUAUAUUAUCCAUCAGCAAGUAUGUAUAAAAUUAUUUUGUCUUUUUUAUUAGAAUUUUUGUAAUUCUUUUUUACUUUUCCUGAAUUGUAGCAUCAGGUGUCUAUAAUAACUGGAUCGUUCCUUCUGCAAAUCAGAGCAGUGGUAAAUAUAUUUUCUUUUGUUUGUUUAGUACAUUUCCAUGCUUUCAGCUUUUUCAAAUUUUGUAUGUGCCAAAGUUUAAAUUAAUUGGUUGGUUUAUGGUAUAAUAACAGGUAUGAUAAUUUACUAAUGAAAUUUCUCACUAGUUUGUGAAUUACUUGGUGCUAAUUAGCUUAAUCAGCUGCUUAAACUAAAGUGCAGGUAACCAGAUGAUUUUUUUCAUUCUGAAUUCGGUGGAGGCACUUGGAGUAAUAUUGACAUUCAAACCGUUUCUAACUCAACGUGCCCCGUGAGUGGAGAAAAGAUGCAUCUGUUGAAAUAUUCAAAUAUAUAUCAAGCAAAUUAAAGCUUUCAAAAUCUUUCAACAAUUUGAUUGUUUGAUGUGGUUGCCACUUGCCAUAUUUUGUGUUACUUUUCUAAAGGCUUAAAUAUGAAAAUGGUUGUUGGUGCUCACGCCAAUUGAUUGCUGGUAACAUUAAUUGUGCAGUACUUGUCAGAACUACCACAAUUUAUCUUCACAAUGAUGCUAGCUAGAAAGAAAAUUUCAUGUUAAGUAAAAUAUUGAAGCCAUAAAGAGUCUUAUUCCAGAGCCUCAUUAAGUACUAAGUUUUCUGCCAUGCUUUCAAAGUUUACAAAUUCGAAGCUUGGGGAUUCUGUAACAAUGGAGGAUAAAAAUUAUAUAAGAAUAUUUUUUGUACAAUUUUCAUACGACCAGACAGAAGCGAGCAUAAUUUUUUGAUCAUAACUCAGAUCAAAAGACCUUCAAUGAUGUAUAAUAUGCACAUAAAGCUAGCUCAGAACCAGACAUUAAAACUUAUGAUGAAAGGGAAACAUAGAUGUUGAGAUUGAAAACAUAGAGAAAUUUUUUUAAAAAAUCUGAAAUUUUAUUAAUAGAAGUUUGAAUAACAAAAUUAGGGUAUUGGACCCUUUUUAUACAAAUUCUAAAUAUUAUGUAUUUAUCAAAAUAGGCAAACUUGAAAUAUUAUUACAUAAUAACGUUCUCCUAACUGAAAUAAAAAAAAUAAAACAAAUCAUACUUAAAAUCUUAUAUUUAGAGAAAAAAUAUAAAAAUAUUGAAAAUAAUAAGAAAAAUAAGAAAAUAACUUAAACUUUGUAAAAUAACUACGAAAUAAACAGAAUUUCUUGCCGAAUAGAUACCCGCUCAAGUUAUGAUCUAGGAGUGAUAUCCUACUCAUCCUAUGCAACCAUCAGCUGCAUCAACUUCAUUCCAAAAUUAACAAAUAAACCAACUGACGCAUUGCAAAUAAUAAGAUGAAACGAUAAAAUAAACCUAGAGAUCAAACAACACAAGGUAAUAUAUUAAAAAGCCUAUGGGAUCAAAACACAUCGUACUAUGUCGAGAGAGAUGACGACUCCUCCAACAGCAGAAAAUAAAUUCUUUCAUUCAUUAAUUUAAAGUAAAUUUGGUGCUCCAUCUUCUUCUCCGUCACCUAUUACCACCUCUGUCAUUGCCCUGCAUCCAGCUACCUUCAUUGAUACGAGCCGCACUAGACUUUCUGCUGUAGUGGACGGAUGUUACAAUUCCUUGCAAUGGAAAAUCAACAGUUCUGUUAGAUUCCCAAAAGAUAUAGAUGAUCAUGGGAAUAGACUUAAAUGCUUGUAAAAUAGUCGUAGAAUGUCAAGAUAUUUAAAAUGGAGUCCAGUUUGGAGUUGCUUCAAUGAUUAAGUCUGGACAGGAUUAACCAUUUUAUCAGUGCCUACUUCCCCACUUGUUUUUAGCAGUAUCCGGCUUGAUUUAAGAAUCUCUUUGUAUGAACUAUAUUACCCAAAAAAAAAAAAAAUCUUAUUUCAAAUGAUGCACAGGAGAAGAGUUACUUGAAUCUUCAUCAGUAUCCAGACAUUCUACAAUCACAGAGUAAAGAGUUCUAGCAGGAAAAACUGAGAAAACAACGUACUUCUAUAGUUUUUCACAAUAUUUCCAACGUUUUCAAACAAUAUUUCCACAAUAUAGUUUUUCAUAGCGAAGAGUUUUGCUUUGGUGGUCUAAGGAUUUGUUCUAGGCAUAAUGCUCUGAUUAGAUUUUGUUUAUUUUUAAUUUUUUAUCCGAUGAAUGAUUUUCAGCUGGUCUUAAUUAUGUGUUCAUAGGGAAGAGCAUUUGGAAAGAUCAUCAAAAAAAAAAAAAAAAAAAGUUUCCAAAGAAAGAUAGGUGUGAAGCAAACCAAACUAAAUGAACAAACUAAAAUAACAGAACAGCAAUGAUGUUUUCAAGGAAUUAUAAAAUAUGAAGGCUUUUAAUGAAAUUUUAUCAUACAAAGUAUGCAAGGAAUUAUAAAAUUUUAGAAAACAAGGGGAACUCUCAAAAAAAGAAAAAAAGAAAAAAAUACUCAAAUUAAACUAGACUAGAAGACAUUCAAUGAUGCAAAAUCUGUCCACAAAAGUCUGAACGAAUCAUUAAAAUUGCAUUCCAAAUUUAACAGUAAGCCGAUUGACCCAUUCUAAAUAAUUCAUAUGAAAUUGCGAAACAAGCCAUGAGAUCAAAUAAAUGAAAUAAAAAAUAAUUACCAGCUGAGGCUUUCUUCUAAAAUUCACAACUCCCAAGUCAUAAGAAGCCUAUGAAAUUAGUACUGGGUAGAGAUCGCCGACUGCACCGCCAACAGCUGAAAAUAAAAUUCUUAUUCAUCAAUUUAAACUUUUACUUUAUAACAAAUAUCUUAUCUAUAUUUUAUUAAAAAAAAAAAUUGUAAAAUGUUUCCAUGGGAGAUAGAGAGUACUAUGUAUAUCCGUACCUUUUCAGCAUGUAAUUGUUGUAUGGUUGUGUUUAGAUCAUUAUUGGUCCAAAGCAAUCGAUCCUCUGUCUCUCCAUAGCAGACGUUUACUCUUGGAGGCGUGAUUGAUUCUCCUGUAGUGAAAAUCUUCAUCUUGGGACAACCAAUCACCCACAAAUCUUGCAAAGAUGGGAAUUUGAAGGUGUAGUUGGCAGAGCUGAAACUUGUGAAGCUAUCUAAAUCAAACAGUUCCAACGUCUUCAAUUUGCUAAAAACAAUCUCUUCUUUUUCAACUCCAUCUUUGUCAUUUAUUACCACCUCUGUCAUUGCUCUGCAUCCACAUACUUGCACUUUGACGAGUUGCACUAGAGUUUUUGCUGUGGAGGAUGUUACCAAGUGUAUCAAUCCCUUGCAACCGAAAGCCACCAGAGCUGUUAGGUUCUGAAAAGAUACCGAUGAUGAUGGCAAUAGAAUUAACAGACUUUGACAAUGAUGUACUUUUAGAAUUUCAAGAUACUGAAAAAUGGGGCCAAGUUUGGAGUCUUGUUUGCACAGCUGCUUCAGAUGAUAGUGCCGGUUCAGCUGUAAUUUUUUUAUCAUUGCCAACUUCCCCACAUGUUUCUCUAAGCUUCCUUCCUCCGAAAAUACCUCUUCGUUGAAUGAAAAAAAACACAGUAUGAGCAUUUCCAGAUUGUGAAAUCUCUCCAGUACGUUCCAGACUGGAAAACAAGCUGAGUCAUCUCCAGCAAUCUCUAGUUGUUUAAGACUGCCAAAAAGGUGUUGUGGGAAAUCGGCCUGCAAAAUCAUCUUCACAUCUUUUCCACUUAGUGAUAGUUCCUUCAAGUUGGGUACGAUCUGAUCAUCAUCAAUCAUAAUAACUAAUGAGGUCAAUUGAUGAUCUACGGUCACACGCAGUGACUUUAUAGUAUUUGUUUUAUAUUAUAUUUUUUUAAAAAAAUUGAAUUAUUGAUAAAAUUUAUUUUAUAUGUUAAUUUUAGAGGUAAAAAAGAAAUUAGGGAAAAAAGGUUGAUUUAUACUGGCUCGAAAUUAUUUUAUUGCACAAUAAUAAAUUACUAAUUUAUUUUGUAAGUUCUUCUAUAUGGAAAGACUAAGGAUUCUUUUAUAAAUGCUAUACCUAAAACAGUUCAUAUAAUUAUUAAUCUACCACAUUGAUCUCUUAGGUAAUGUUUAUAUAAUUAUGGCAAGGCAUGAUUAAAUUGAUCAUUUGUUUGGUAACAACUUUAUUAAUCGGGUUCUGGCAGAUUUUCUUGGUCACAAAAGCGUCAAGAUGCUGGUUUCCUCCCAGGUAUGAUGAUAUACUAAUGAAAAUUCCCACUAGUUUGUGAGUUGCUUUGUGCUAAUUAGCUUAAUUAGCUGCUUAAAUUAAAGUGCAGAUAACCAGGUGAUUUUUUUCAUUCUGAAUUUGGUGGAGGCACUUGGAGUAAUAUUGACAUUCAAACCGUUUCUAACUCAACGUGCCCCGUGAGUAGAAAAGAUGCUCUGUUGAAAUAUUCAAAUAUCUAUCAAGCAAAUUAAAGCUUUCUAAAUCUAUCAACAAUUUGAUUAUUUGAUGUGGUUGCCACUUGCCAUAUUUUGUGCUACUGUUCUAAAGGCUUAAAUAUGAACAUGGUUUUUGGUGCCCACGCCAAUUGAUUGCUGGUAACAUUAAUUUAUCUUCACAAUGAUGCUAUCUACAAAGAAAUUUUCAUAUCAAGUAAAAUAUUGAAGCCACAAAGAGUCUUAUUCCGGAGCCUUAUUAAGUACUAUGUUUUCUGCCAUGCUUUCAAAGUUUACACAUUCGAAGCUUGGGGAUUCUGUAAUAAUAGAGGACAAAAAUUUUAUAAGAAUAUUAUUUUGUACAAUUUUCAUACAACUGACAAAAGCAAGCAUAAUUUUUUUAUCUUAACUCAGACCAAAAGACCUUCAAUGAUGUAAAAUAUGCACAUAAAGCUAGCUCAGAACCAGACAAUAGAACUUAUGAUGAAACGGAAACAUAAACGUUGAGAUUAAAAACAUCGAGAAACACCCUUUCAAAAAAAAAAAAAAAAAAUCGAGAAACACAGCUUUUGAAAAGUCUGAAAUUUUAUUAAUAGAAGUCUGAAUAACAAAAUUAAGGUUUUGAACCCUUUUUAUACUAAUCCUAAAUAUUACGAAUUUAUUAAAAUAAGCAAACCUGAAAUAUUAUUACAUAAUAAGGUUCUCCUAACUGGAAUAAGAAAAAUAAAAUAAAUCGUAUUUAAAAUCUUAUAUCUAAAAAUAAAAUAUAUAAAAAUCUUGAAAAUAAUAUGGAAAAAUAAGAAAAUAUCUUAAACUUGUAAAAUAACUAUGAAAUAAACAAAAUUUCUGGUUGGACCAUGAGGCCAAUAGGGUGUCAUAGUAUUAGAUUAAUGGUAUAUUAUACGCCCUAGAUAGAUACUAUAGCUCAAUUUAUGAUCUCGGAGUGAUAUCCUACUCAUCCUAUGCAACCAUCGUCUGCAUCAACUUCAUUCCAAAAUAAACAAUAAACGAAUUGACGCAUUGCAAAUAAUUUAGAUGAAACGAUAAAAUAAACCUAGAGAUCAAAUAAAAUGAAAUGAAAAUGAUAGUUACCUCGGACUUUCUUCUUCAAAUUUCGCAGCACUAUGUAAUAAAUUAAAAAGCCUAUGGCAUCAGAACAUAUCGUACUGCGUCAAGAGAGACGACGACUCCUCCAACAGCUGAAAAUAAAUUCUCUCAUUCGUUAAUUUAAAGUAAAAUUUGUAAAUUUAGGUACUUGCUGAAGAAACGUGUUUUCAUUUCUUAAAUAAAGCAUUAUACAUUGAGAGUUAUUUAUAGAUGCAGAGGCUACAUUUUUUCAAAGAUUACAUAUGUGAAUACGGAAGGAAAUGUGUCAAUCCGUUCGGCGCGAAUCAUCCGUUCGGCGCGAAUCUUGUCUUUGACAAGUGCAGAUUACCCCUUUGACAAGUGCAGAUUCUGUCUUUGAAAGCUUCAUUCAAUGUCGUUUUAUUUGAUUUUCAACACUCCCCCUCAAGCUGGUGCAUAGAUGUCUUUCAUACCCAACUUGUCUAGGAAUUUUGUAAAUGCCCUGCUUGAAAUGGCCUUCGUUAAAAUAUCUGCAAGUUGAUCUUCUGAUCGAAUUUUCGGCAGUUCUAAGAUUUUUUCAUCUAAUUUCUCCUUGAUGAAAAAUCUAUCUACCUCCACAUGUUUUGUUCGAUCGUGUUGAACUGGGUUAUGAGCAAUAUCUCGUGCAGCUUUGUUGUCACAGUAUAGUUGUAUUGGUUGUUGUGAUGGAUAGCCCAUAUCGUUUAAGAUAAAACUUAUCCAUAGCCCUUCACAUAUCCCAAGGGCCAUGCCUCGAUAUUCUGCUUCAGCGCUCGAACGGGCAACGACAUGUUGUUUCUUGCUUCUCCAUGUGAUAAGGUUUCCUCCCACAAAGGUAAAGUAUCCUGAAGUAGAGCGUCUAUCACUAACUGACACGGCCCAAUCUGCAUCAGUAUAAACUUCUAUGUUGCUGUAAUCUUCAUUUUUGGAAAGUAAGAUUCCUUUUCCUGGAUUUGUCUUCAGGUACCUCAGGAUCCGCAUUACUGCUUUCAUGUGUUGUUCUCCGGGAUUAUGCAUAAACUGGCUUACAACACUCAAUGCAUAAGCAAGAUCUGGCCUUGUGUGGGACAAGUACAUCAAUCUUCCAAUCAGCCUUUGAUAUCUUCCUUUGUCUACUGGAACUUGGUCUGAAGUAAUACAAAACUUCAGUCCUUCUUCUAUUGGGGUGUCAAUAGGCUGACAAGCUGUCAUUCCCGUUUCGUGCAAUAGAUCUAAGGCAUAUUUCCUUUGAGACAGAAAGAUUCCUCCCUUAGAUCGAGAAACCUCAAUUCCAAGAAAGUAUUUUAAGGCACCUAAAUCCUUCAUCUCAAACUCUCUUGACAAGUACUUAUGAAGAGCCUCUGUUUCUUCCUCGUCGUUGCCUGUAACUACCAUAUCAUCCACAUAGACAAUAAGGGCAGUGAUUUUACCUUGUCGUUUUUUAAUGAAUAAGGUAUGAUCUGAAUUGCUUUGGUUAUAUCCAAAACGAACCAUAGCCUUUGUGAAUUUCCCGAACCAUGCUCUUGGGGAUUGCUUCAACCCAUACAAUGAUUUCUUCAAUUUGCAUACUUUCUGAUUGAGUCGUUCUGGUCCACUGCAUCCUGGUGGCAGAUCCAUAUAAAUUUCUUCAGACAGGUCUCCAUGGAGGAAAGCAUUCUUUACAUCGAACUGUUGCACUGGCCAAUCCAAGUUGACUGCUAAUGAUAAUAAGAUACGAAUAGUAUUAAUUUUUGCUACCGGUGCAAACGUAUCAGUAUAAUCAAUCUCGUAGGUUUGGGUGUAACCCUUAGCUACGAGUCUUGCUUUGUAUCGUUCAAUAGAGCCAUCUGCUUUGUAUUUUAUAGUGUAGAUCCAUCGACAACCCACUAGUUUCUUUCCUGGUGGAAGAUCAACUAGUUCCCAUGUUUGAUUUUUCUGAAGAGAUCUCAUUUCAUCAUUCAUAGCCGCUUUCCACUUUGGAUCUUUUAAAGCUUCCUGCACACUGUUAGGAAUAGAUACAGCAGAUAAUUGAUUCACAAAUGACUGAUUUGAUUCUGACAAGCAAUGGUUAGACACAAAAUGACUUAUAGGGUAUUUGACUAUACUAGAGAAGUCAGGCUCAUAUGUGGGUUUAGGGAUACCUCUAUUUUGACGCUGGGGAAGAAUUCUUCUGAUUGGACUUGUGGUAGGAACAUCCUCUGCAGACGAUUGGUUAGGUAUUUCUUCAUGUGACUCAUUCUCGAUUGCAGUUGUGUCUGAGUUAUUGUGCUCCCCAAAUGUGUCUUCACAUAUCUUAGCCUGCGAAUUAUCACCAUUUGCUUUUCCAGUAUCUUGAAGGUUUACUAUCUCAAUGGAAGAUUGACUUUCUUCAGGUGGAAGAUAUGUAAGAGUAUGAAUUUCCUCUUCAUUAUACUCCCCCUGAAAUUCAGACUCUGACAAGUAGUACAUGAUAUCUUCAUGAAAAACGACAUCCAUGGUGAUGUAUAUUUUUCUUGAUGGUGGAUGAUAGCAUCGGUAUCCCUUUUGAUGUAAGGCAUACCCUACAAACACACAACGUAGUGCUCGAGGAGAUAAUUUUUCUUGUUGCGGCAAAUGAACGAAGGCAACACAGCCAAACACAUGUGGGGGCAGAUUCGGCACAUUUGGUGACAUAAUUGCAUCAUUCAGAACUUGGAAAGAAGUCUGGAAUCCAAGGGAGCUUGAAGGUGUUCGAUUGAUCAAGUAUGUUGCGGAUGCCAGUGCUUCUCCCCAAUAAGAUAAUGGCAUGUGGGCUUGGAUUAGUGAUGCUCGAACAACUUCUAGUAAAUGUCUGUUUUUUCGUUCAGCAACGCCAUUUUGUUGGGGUGUCCCCACACAAGUGGUUUGAUGGACAGAUCCUUGUGAUUUCAAAAACUGUUGAAUUGCUGUGCUCAUAUACUCGCCUCCAUUAUCAGUAUGUAGAACUCGAAUUUGUGUCUGAAAUUGAGUUGUCACCAUCUUAUGAAAUCUUUGAAAUAAAGAGUUUACUUCGUCUUUCGAUUUCAUCAGAAAAAUCCAUGUCAUUCUGCUACAAUCAUCAAUAAAUGUAACAAACCAACGAGCACCUCCAAUUGUAGAAACUUUAGAUGGCCCCCAUACAUCAGAAUGUACUACCAUAAAAGGAACUGGAUUUUUAUUUAAGGACAAUGGAAAAGUAGUUCGAUGGCUUUUUGAAAGUUCACAAACAUCACAUUUAAAGUUACAAACAUCAAAUUUCAGAAACAAACUAGGAAAUAAUUUUUUUAAGUAACCAAAUGACACAUGCCCUAAACGUCUAUGCCAUAACCAAAUUUCUGAUUUCCCUUUUUUUAUGGAACUAUCUGCGACUAGUGCAGGGCUUAGCUUUCCAGUGUUUGUUGAUGACAUCUCCAAGUAGUACAAGUUGCCUCGUCUAAUACCAUAACCAAUCGUUUGCUUCGUUUGGAUGUCCUUAAACACACAAUGAUCAGGCCAAAAAAUUACAACACAUGAUAAGUAAGUGGUUAAUUGAGACACAGAUAAAAGAUUAUAAUCUAAAGAUGGAACAAUUAACACAGCGUCUAAAUUUAAUUCAUUUGUGAGUCGUAAAGAUCCUUCCCCAAUAACUGAGGUUGUGGUUCCAUUUGCAGUGGAAAUAUGUUUUUGUGAAGAUGGUUUCAAUUGAGAAACUUGUCGAGAAUCAAAAGUCAUAUGAUCAGUUGCCCCAGAAUCAGUUAUCCAUGUACUAUUAAUAACAGGUGUAAGAGUUUUAAGGGCCUUACCUGGACUGACAGAGGUUGCGAUUUGCACUGAAGAUUCUUUUUUAAGAUCUGUAGUGGAUGUGGAUUCAGCUACUGCAGUUUUUGAUCCAUGCUUGGUGUUCUUCUUUCGAGUAUCCCACCAGUCAGGAUAUCCAAUGAUUUCAAAACAUUGUUCUUUCGUAUGACCCUUCUUUCUACAAUGAGUGCAAUGGAGUGAUGACUUGUCAACAAACUUCCUUUGAGGUUGCUGUCGUGCUAUCAUAGCAGACGUUUCUGAGUCGACCUUCUUGUUUAGUUUGCUUUGCCAUAUAUCUUCUCUUCGGAUCAGAGAAUAACAUUCUUCUAAGUCUGGAAUAAUGUCUUUUCGUAGAAUUUCUCCACGAACUUGGUCAAAUUCUUCAUCUAGCCCAGCAAGAAAAAUGUGCACUCUCAAUCUUUCAACAGACCUUCUGUAUAUUACAACAUCUUCUGGAUCCUUCAUGACCACUUUAUCUCGGUGAUCAAGUUCUCGAAAUAUUUCGACCAAUUCUCCAUAGAAUUUAGAGAGUGGUUGUCCAUUUUGCUUGGUAGAGAAUGCCUUUUGGUUUAGAGUGAAAACUUGUAAUUCAUCGCUUCCAUCAUAGAAGGCUUUUGAUAAUGCAUCACAGAUUUCGUAGGCUGUAGAAAUUCGUAAAUAUUGCUUCAUGAUCUCCGGAGACAUGGAUAUGAGUAACAAUCUUUUUACUUUUUGGUUCUCACUAUACCAUUUCUCAUAUUCCUUUUAAGAUUCCUCAAAUGGCUUUGUGCUGCUACGAAUAUAUGAGAGUUUUUCUCUUUCUGCAAGAUGCAUUUCCAUUAUUUGAGACCAAACAUCGUAGUUUGUCUCAGUGAGGAUAAUUCCAGCAUUAAAUACUCCAUCAGAUUGAACAGAUUGAAUGACAACAGGACUAGAUUCAGUUGGAGUUUUCUCCAUUUUUUUUGUUUUUGUUUUUUUUUUCUUUUUCUUUUUUCUCUUUUUUUUCUUUUUUUUUGUUUUCUUUUUUUUUUUGUUUUUUUUCCCGUCUAGAUUGAAAGAAGAAAAAAAAAAUAACCUUUUUAGGUAACAAAACGACAGGUCGUUUAGCCACUGCUUACCAAACCGACAUGUCGGUUAUGGUGGAAUAUAAACGACAUGUCGUUUUACUCCUGCUGCACUUCUGGAAACUAAGCGUCACGUCGUUUUAUCUCUAAUUUAGAAAAGACAUAUCGGUUUUAAUAUAACACAAAACGACACGUCGGUUUUUGACUGCUGCACUUCUGAGAUAAAAAUGACAUGUCGGCUGACGUCUUCUUCAACCUCUGGAGCGCGUGAGGGCGCGUGAAUGAUGACAGAGGUGCGUGGUUGACUGGCCGUGGCUUCGGUUGGCGCGUGGGAGCGCGUGGGAAUGUGUUUAAAUGCGAAAGUUUUACAGUUUCCUCACUAAAAACUGAGAAAUUUUAUGGUGUUCUUGGUUUUGGACGAACACACUCUCGGAAAAUUGAUGGGAUUGUUGAUAAAUUUGUAAACUCAAGUUUUUUACGUAUUGGUGGCUUGUUUCUUGAUCGGCAUGGAUAUCUGUAAUGGUAGGAAUGGGUUUAAGAAAGAAAAUGGUGGGAAAAAUGGUUGUGGGAGGAAUUUGGUUUCCUCUGUUUUUGUUACAAACAGAGCAACGGAACUUGAAGAAACUUGAGCGUAUUCAUGGCUCUGAUACCAUGAAGAAACGUGUUUUCAUUUCUUAAAUAAAGCAUUAUACAUUGAGAGUUAUUUAUAGAUGCAGAGGCUACAUUUUUUCAAAGAUUACAUAUGUGAAUACGGAAGGAAAUGUGUCAAUCCGUUCGGCGCGAAUCUUGUCUUUGACAAGUGCAGAUUAACCCUUUGACAAGUGCAGAUUCUGUCUUUAAAAGCUUCAUUCAAUGUUGUUUUAUUUGAUUCUCAACACUUGCACAUAGAGAUUUGCAAGGGGAGCGAGAGAUUCAAUAGCAGCAAUUUAAUUUGACGGGACUUUCAUUGAAUAAUGAAAUUAAAAACUAACGAUUAUUGAAUUUUUUAUAUUCUCUUAACUCUUGUGGAAAUGUCAGCUCUAAAUAGGACAGCUUCAAGAAUCUUUAUCUGAAAGUGUAAUUGGCAGAGCAGAAACUUGUGACACUAUCUAAAUCACAAAGACUCAACGUCUUCAAUUUGCUGAAAACAAUCUCUCGUUUUGAAUUUACAUUUGGAGCUCCAUCUUCUUCUUCGUCACCUAUUACCAUAUCUGUCAUUGCCCUGCAUCCAGCCACCUUCACUGAUACGAGCCGCACUAGACUUUUAGCUGCAGUGGAUUUUACAAUUCUUUGCAAUGGAAAACCACCAGUUCUGUUAGAUUCCCACAAGAUAUAGAUGAUCAUGGCAAUAGACUUAAAAGAUUUUUACAUGCAGUAAUAUACUCUUAAGUGGUGUUUGGUUGGGAGGAGAGAAUAGAAGAAAGGAAAGUAAUUUAAAUGCUCUUUUUAUUUCCAUUAUUUGGUUUGACAAAAUAGAUAAGAAUUUAAUUUCCAUUAGAAUUUGAAUUCCACACCAAGUAGUGAAAAAUUUAAAUUCCUCUUAUGUUAAAAACUAAAGUUUCCAAAAUUAUCCUUCAAAUUUUUAACUUGUUUAAUGUCAUUAAUAAUUAUUAUUUAUAAUUUUAUUUUAUUGAUUUAAUAUUAUAAAUAGACCUCCACCGGUAAGUCGCCGGACCACUGUCGGACUUCACCGGACCACCGCUGAACUUUCGCCAGACCAUUGCCGAACUUCCACCGGAAAGUCGCCGGACUUCCACCGGAAUAUAGUUUUUCAUAGCGAAGAGCUUUACUUUGAUGGCUUAAGGAUUUGUUCUAGGCAUACUGCUGUGAUUAGAUUUCGUUUAUUUUUAACUUUUUUUAAUCUUUUAUCCGAUGAAUGAUUUUCAGCUGUUCUUAAUUAUUUGUUCAUAGGGAAGAGCAUUUUCUAAGUACUUCCUUGCCUUCUAAGUUUCCGAAGAAAGAUAGGUGUGAAGCAAAGCAAACCAAACCAAAUGAACAAACAGAGCACAAACUAAAAUAACAGAACAGCAAUGAUGACAAUAAAUAAUUGGCAAAAAAAGAAAAGAAAAAAGCAUGCACAUUUUCAAGGAAAUAUAAAAUAUAAAGCUUUUAAUGAAAUUUUAUCAUAAAAAGUAUGCAAGUAUUUAACAAGAUGUUUGGAACGAUAGAAAAUGAAAGAAAAUUGAUUAAGAAGAUUCUGGAACAAUCAUAAUUCUUAUUGAUGAAACUGAUCAAAAUCGUACAUUGUGAACGAGCUCAGCACUAUUUAUAGUUACACACAUGCUGAUUAGAAAGUGUAGAGCUCAAAACUGCAAUAUUAACAAACUAAUUAACCUUCCAAUCAUAUUAAGCCAGCUGGACAGUUAGUUACAACCAAUCAGUACAAAUAACAACCUAAUCCAGCUUGGCAACUUUGUUACACAUCAUCAGCCAGCUCAGCUUAGCAAACUUACACUCUUAACAGCAAGGAAUUAUAAAAUUUUAGAAAACAAGGGGAACCCUAAAAAAAAAACUCAAAUUAAACUAGGCUAAAAGACAUUCAAUGAUGCAAAAUCUGUCCAUAAAAUUCUGAACGAAUCAUUAAAAUAGCAUUCCAAAUUUAACAGUAAACCGAGUGACCCAUUCUAAAUAAUUCAGAUGAAAUUGUGAAACAAGCCAUGAGAUCAAAUAAAUGAAAUAAAAAUUCGCAACUCCAAGUCAUAAGAAGCCUAUGAAAUUAGUCGUAAUGCGUAGACAACGACGACGGCACCGCCAACAGCUGAAAAUAAGAUUCUUAUUCAUCAAUUUAAACUUUUACUUUAUAACAAACAUCUUAUCUAUAUUUUAUUUAAAAAAAGCAAAUUUUGUAAAAUUUUUCCAUGGGAGAUAGAGAGUAAUAUGUAUAUACGUACCUUCUCAGCAUGUAAUUGUUGUAUGGUUGUGUUCAGAUCAUUAUUAGCCCAGCGCCGUUGAUCCGCUGUCUCUCCAUAGCAGACGUUUACUCUUGGAGGCGUGAUUGAUUCUCCUGUAGUGAAAAUCUUCAUCUUGGGACAACCAAUCACCCACAAAUCUUGCAAAGAUGGGAAUUUGAAGGUGUAGUUGGCAGAGCUGAAACUUGUGAAGCUAUCUAAAUCAAACAGUUCCAACGUCUUCAAUUUGCUAAAAACAAUCUCUUCUUUUUCAACUCCAUCUUUGUCAUUUAUUACCACCUCUGUCAUUGCUCUGCAUCCACAUACUUGCACUUUGACGAGUUGCACUAGAGUUUUUGCUGUGGAGGAUGUUACCAAGUGUAUCAAUCCCUUGCAACCGAAAGCCACCAGAGCUGUUAGGUUCUGAAAAGAUACCGAUGAUGAUGGCAAUAGAAUUAACAGACUUUGACAAUGAUGUACUUUUAGAAUUUCAAGAUACUGAAAAAUGGGGCCAAGUUUGGAGUCUUGUUUGCACAGGUGCUUCAGAUGAUAGUGCCGUUUUAGCUCUAAUGUUUUUAUCAUUGCCAACUUCCCCACAUGUUUCUCUAAGCUUCCUUCCUCCGAAAAUACCUCUUCGUUGAAUGAAAAAAAACACAGUAUGAGCAUUUCCAGAUUGUGAAAUCUCUCCAGUACGUUCCAGACUGGAAAACAAGCUGAGUCAUCUCCAGCAAUCUCUAGUUGUUUAAGACUGCCAAAAAGGUGUUGUGGGAAAUCGGCCUGCAAAAUCAUCUUCACAUCUUUUCCACUUAGUGAUAGUUCCUUCAAGUUGGGUACGAUCUGAUCAUCAUCAAUCAUAAUAACUAAUGAGGUCAAUUGAUGAUCUACGGUCACAUGCAGUGACUUUAUAGUAUUUGUUUUAUAUUAUAUUUUAAAAAAAAUUGAAUUAUUGAUAAAAUUUAUUUUAUAUGUUAAUUUUAGAGGUAAAAAAGAAAUUAGGGAAAAAAGGUUGAUUUAUACUGACUCGAAAUUAUUUUAUUGCACAAUAAUAAAUUACUAAUUUAUUUAGUAAGUUCUUCUAUAUGGAAAGAUUAAGGAUUCUUUUAUAAAUGCUAUACCUAAAACAGUUCAUAUAAUUAUUAAUCUACCACAUUGAUCCCUUAGUCUAGACUAGCAAAGAUUAUUGUAUAAUAAAAAUUUUUAAUUUAUUGAGUAUUAAUUUAUCGAUGCUUUGUCAUAUUUUUCAAAGUUAAAAAUAAGCUAUUGAUAAAAAAUCUAGAAAAUGACUUCAUACCUUUUCCAACGGCAAUAGGAGCUGUUGUGCAGGAAUACCAAGUUGAUCAUUCUCAUUAUUCUGCGAUAAAUCAGCGAAUAUCUUUAAUUUGUCACAACGAUACACUAAAAGACUUUCUAGCGCGGGCCAUUCCAAAGUAUGCAUUCCAGGGUACAAACAUCUAAGUUUUGGUAGAUGUUGGAGUCUCAGAGUGGUGAGCUGUGGAAAGACAAAAUAAGGGAUCACUUGAUCUGCUCUGUUUUCAGAAAUGAUCUCCUGUAAAUCCUCACAGAAGCGUAUAUCUAGGUGUUGGAGCUGCUUAAGGCUUCCGAUCAUAGACGCUGAAAAUAGGUAUUUUAAUUUGUGACAAUGCCGCACAGUCAAUCGUGUUAAAUUUUGAAAGCGAGGAAACAUGACCGGAAGAUGAUUGUAGUGCCAAAUCUUGUCGACAUUAAUUUCAGAUAUCUCCAAAGCCUCCAAGUUAGGCAACGCAACCUAAAAAAAAGAAGAAUUUCUCGUUACAUCCAAUAUGCAUAUGAGAAGCACUUGUUGAAAUUUUCGUCUUCGAUUACAAAUUAAUGCAAGUCAAAACCAAUUUCUAACUGACAGAUAAGUAUGCAUUCUAAUUCAUACUACUUGUUAAGAGCUCAAUUAGUGAGCGCGUGAGAUUCUUUUUAUCCUUUUUUUUCCAUUUUCUUUCAAUUCUUUAAAUGAUUUAAUUAUUUUCCACGUAUGACAACAAAACAGAACGCAUGAUAGAAUAAAGUCUGUUAUAUAUAUAUAUAUAUAUAAAGAAAAUGUUAGCCUACGCACCUUCUCGUUGAAAAGCAGAGUUGAAGUAUCCAAAGUGAUUUCGCUGGAGCUAUACGUAGUCGUCGAUUCCUCUUGCGACGCUGGUCUGUUUGGUGAUGCUGAAGGAGUCUUUACUUCACGGCAAAAACUUGUAACCUCUGGAAGAUUCCCCAGACUCAAAGAUCUUAAUUGAGCAAACUCUAUCUUCUCAAUUGCAUUAUCAACUUCUUCCCCAAUUGCAAAAAUCUCUUUCAUCUUGCUGCAAUUAAUAACUGCAAUUCUCUCAAGUCUUGGAAGGCAUUUUGUUGUAGAGAGCCAAAAGAUAUUACUCAAUUUUUCACAAUUAUAUGUUUGUAUGAUUUUGAGUUCGUUGAAGGACUCUACUUUGAGCCGAUCAAUACAUAUCCUCUCCAUGUUGAUCAAAUUGUGAAGGCCAAGUGACUCCAAAAGAGGAAAGGCAUCACAAGCGACCAUCGCCCUUGAAUCGACGAUGCAAAAGAAGUCAGGAUUAUUUUGAACCCAGACAAGCUUCAAUUGUGAAAAGCCCUCCGUGUCCAAAUUGAAAAGAACGUUCUUGAUCCCUCGCAGCUUGUCCAACAAUAAGUAUUCAACGUUAUUGACGCCCUGCAAUUUCAUGGAGCAAAUGUCCGUAAAAGCAAGCUUGAGCUUCAAUGCUCUUAAACUCUUGCGAUCACUGUCGAUCAAAAAGUGCUGCCAACUUUCAAACCAAUUUUGUCCAGCAAUCAUGGGAUGUGUGAAUAACACAUUUCCAAUAUUUAUUUUGAACCUUUCGAGCUUUCUGGCCAAAAAGCCUUCUGGUAACAUACUCUCAUUUUUAACAUCAAUUUCUAGAGUGGUUAGCCGAGGUAAAUGCAUCAAUUCAUCAAGGCUAGCAUUACUUCUUUUGCUGUUGGCUCUUUCAACCUCCCAUUCAAUGGAGCAAUUACCCAUAUACAAUUCUUCUAAUCGGAUUAAGCUUGAUAUGACAUUUGGGGCAAUAACUUUCAGACGGAAACAGUCUGUUAAAUCUAACAGCCUUAGCUUAGUCAGUUGACCCAGUGCUUUAGGCAACUCUACAAUAUCAGACCGCACGAAGCUGAGGAUUUCUAGGUUUUCCAACUUUCCAAUAAUGGCUACGUCUAUGCCUCUGAAAAUGCUUUGAUCAAGACAAAGUGUCUGAAGAUUUACUAGAAGACCAAUUGAAGAUGGCAAUGACAAUAACCGCAUUCUAGUCAAAUCCAAAACCCGAAGCUUUUUCGUCCUUUUGAAGAAGUUCUCAGGAAUAUUAGGCACAGCAAAAGAGUUCUUGGGAGACAUGAGUAGAAGUUCAAGUUGUAGAGAUUCGGACCCUUCAGGAAUGUCAUUAAUAACACUAUCUUUUAAAGAAAUUGCAAGAUAUUUUUUUAAUUCAUCUGCAUUUGGCCAUUUCCAAUCAUCCUCAUUUCUCACCACAAAUCCAAUUUUGUCACGACAUGCAAUUGAAAUGGCAACAUCGCGAACAACGUCGUGCAUAGAAAAGUAUUUACUGCCACCAUCCUCAAGCAACAAACAAGAGUCUCUUAGUUGAUGGACCCAUGCAUCUAAUUUGUUAUGUGCAUCUUCUAGCUUGUGGACACUUUUAAAUACACCCCAGAGCAUGCUAUAUUUGAACAAGUCCAUAAUUGGUGCUGGCGUAAUAAGACUACACAGUAAAAAAGUUUUCUUGAGUUGCUCACCUCUUAAGUACUUGUAACUCAGCUCAAUUGUUGAGUAUGCCUCUGCUGGUACUCCUUCGUCGAAGCUUGCCUCUGAAGGCGUUUGGAGUUCUUGCAAGACAUUCUUCCACACAGGCAGCUCUUUUUUUCUCAGUGCCUUUGCUACUGUGGUUAGGGCAAUAGGCAAACCUCCGCAUGCCUUGGCUACACUUGUUGCUGUAGAUUUUAACUCACGAUUUUCCACAUAAUCACCUGCCAUUAUCUUGAACAAUUUCCAGGCUUCUUGUUCAUUUAAAAUGCCAAUCGAGAAGUUUUUUUCAGAUUCCAUCCUUAACAGCACAUCAAGAUCUCUUGUUGUGAAUAAUAAUUUGCAUCCUCUGUGCUCAACUCCAAAAGGAAUUCCAAUAGUCCCCAAAUCAAGAGGUUUCCAGAUGUUAUCCAGAAUCACAAGGAUCUUCUUCUCAUUCUUCAAUCUUUCAUAUAGUCUACUAGCUCUUCUAGACUCAGCUUCCUCGGACAACUGUAGGCCUAACGUUACCGCAAUUUCCUCUUGGAUCUUUUUUAUGUCUGGACUUUGGGUAACCUCCGAAAAAGCCACCAUAUCGUAAAGCUUGUCUUCAAUUGCUCGCCUUGCAAACUCCCGCACCAGUGUCGUCUUUCCAAUGCCGCCCAUGCCGUAGACGCCAAUGAUGCUGACAUCAACAUCGAUCAAUGCAUUUUGUAUGGCCUUCAAAGUAGAAAGUCUUGAUUCGAAGGCCUCGUAGCCUUUGUGAGACUUGAGCCAAAUCUCCUCCGGAAUGGUACGGUAGGAAAUUCUAUCAUCAAAUCUCCCAGCUUCUUCUCGGAGUUUAAAAAGGGCCUCCUUCUCUGUUUCUGCUUUCUUUCCAUGCUGAUAGCGAGUAAUCCAAUUAGGAAACAGCCCCAUGAGACAUCGUUCAUUUGCUUUCUCUUCGUCUUGAAUGAAUUUGGCUGCCUCCUCAAUGCUCUUGUUCGCAUUAACCAGCCAUUUCUCAACCUUCUCUUCAAUCUUUUCACUUUUUCUUUCAGCCUCAGAAACUCUGCGCUGAAUGCUUUCUCUUUCAUCCUUGAGCCCAUCGAGUUCUUCCUUGAGAUUCUCAAAGUUGGCAGCGGAGUUAUACCAAUAACUAAAUUCGCGUUGUGCGUGAGGAGACAAGCAGUUUACAAUGCUUUUCAAAAUGUCCAUUUUUUUUUUUUGGUUGGGGGGGGGGGGGGGGACGAAAUAGAAAUAGAACAGGGUCAACGACCGCGCAAUUGAUAAUCAAGUAGAAGCAAAACUAGGCAAAAUUGGAAAAAUAAAUUAUAUUUGUACAAAACAAGGGGAAAAUCAGUGUAACAGAAGAGAAUCAAAGUGUUUUUGAGAUCAGAAAAUUGAACCAAGAAAAGGGUUGCUUGAUCCAAUGAAAAAGCAAAGAGCUGAUGGCAAAAGGGAACAAAGAUAAAUAAGAAAACGGCUAGUACGAGCAGCGACCACGAUGAACAGAAGCAAAGUGUUUAUGAGAUCAAAAGACGAAAAUCAGGAGAGGUUUUCUUGACUGAGAAUUGAAGGCAAAGAGUAGGAGCUGACGAAUACGGGGAUCAAGAGGGAAAAACUGCUUGCUCGUAAAACUACUUUCAAGCGAAUCUGAUAAAAUUAUUUCAAUACUCAUGGGCGACUCCUUUUUAAACUGCAGAAGGAAAAAAAAAAAAAAAAGAGUUCUGAAUUUCAAUAUAUUAAUUUUUAUCCUAAUUUAUGUUGAGAUUCGUAAUCUCGUCUCAAUGAUUAAUUAGUAGAUAAUCUUUCUAACAAAUAUGUGUUGAAUAGAUAUAUUUCUUGACUAUUAGUAAGUUAGAUAUAUUUUAGCAUAGGAAUGAAAGUACCAAGUUGUGUCAUAUUAGAAUAAAAAUGUGAGCUAAAAAUAAUUUUCUAUGACCUUUUAAUUAUUUGUCAGCAAAUAAUUAAGUCAUAUAAAAAAAUUAAUAAUCUGAAUUAGUCUUUAAGUAUUAUAAAUAUUUUUUUUUAUUUUUAAUUAUAAUAUCAUUAUUUAAAAAUAAUUGCUUGACUUAUAUUAGUAACAUUACGAUUGUCAUAAAACAUGUGAUCCUCAUCCAAUAUCCAUUAUUUGUGAUCCUUAAUCAAUAAAAUAUCUAACAAUAUCUUCACCUAAAGUUUGAGACAUGUGAUCCUUAUUCCACUGCGUCAAAACAAGGAGAAAAUCAGUGUAACUGAAGAGAAUCAAAGUGCUUUUGAGAUCAGAAAUUGAAGCAAGAAAAGGGUCGCUUGAUCCAAUGAAAAUGCUAAGAGCUGAUGGUAAAAGGGAACAAAGUUAAAUAAGAAAACAGCUAGUGCUAGCAUCGACCACAAUAAACAGAAAAUUUGAGAUGGAUUUACAAUAUUUCUGCCUUUCUUUAUGCUUUAACAAAUAUUGCUCUAUCAAAAAAAAUAUUUAGCAUUUUAUUAUUGGAGUCACAAAAGACCUACACAAUAUAGCAAGUGCUAGGAAUAAAUAAGAAUAUAUAACUCUCUCUCUAAUUCUCACUCUAGCUUUUAAUUGUCACUCAAAACCCAGAAUUCAUCCUUAAAGUGUAAGCAAAUCAGAGAUGACAGCGUCUGGUUGUCAUACGUGCCUUUUAGUUUUCGGAUGACAUGGCGUACACUUCUUCUGUAAAUCGAACAUGACAUGUCGUACUCUUUGUUUUGAGAUCAUAUUUCAAACUCUUCAUGCUAUGAAUGAAAGAUAAACUACAAUCAUCAAAAUAUUUAGUGUUUAUUUGGUAAUGUAACAUCAUAGUUGUUGUGAAUUGAAAUUAUUUAUGUAAGAUAAAAGGAUUUGGGUCAUCGUUUGUUAUUCUCUAGCAAUAUUGUUUGGCCGUGACUAUUUGUUAAAUAUUAAAAAAAUAAAUUUAUAUUUAUUAAGUACAAAAAAUAAAUAAACAAACAAAAAUAAAAGGAAAAGUUUAUGCAUUACAUAAAAUAAUAAGAACAAUAUCAAUAUUUCACACUCUAUAAUUGACUGAUGAGUUGUCCAACUACCAUACAUUGGUCCCAGAGACUUAAAUAUUAAAGUCCAAAGUUAUUGUGAUGAUGACUUAUAAUUGCCAAACUUGACAUACGGGUAAUCAUGCAUUAUAUAAGGUGCUGAUUUCUUCCGAUCGGAACUUUAUUUUUCAUUUACAAAUAAAUAAAUGAUGUGACUUAACGGGUGGCGGGGUCCUUUGUGCCAUUUGUGUAUUUCACUGAAUAGUUGAUUCAACUUGAUUGCAGCAGAAAGAUUCCUGGAAGUUGCCAUUUGCCAAUGCUACUAACAUUUUCAAACUUGGAAAACCCUUCAAUCAAUCUUUUAGUGGUAGGCUCUGGUAGCUUGCUUUGAUUAUGACAUAUGAUUAUUUGAUAAUAAAGCUAGAGGAUGUAUUAAUAUAAAAUUUGUUUAUUGGUGUUGAAGUUAAUUAUCUCAUUAAUAAUAAUAUAAAAAGUUAAUUACUAAGAAACACAUAGCAGUAUUCUAGGAUAUAAUUUUAUAUCAUAACUUUGUAAGUGUAUAAUUCCUCAUUAAAUUAACAAAAUUAUUUUAAAAUAUUUAGUUAGAAAAAAUAAAAUAUUUUACAAUACCUCCCUUCAGAUUGCACAAAUUACAUAAAAAAAAAAAAUUGCUUUAUGUAUAAAACUUUCAAACAAAUUGGGCCAAAAUCUAACUUUACCAAGUUUAGAGUAAUUUUGGGCUCUACAUUCCAUUUCCGACAAACGAAUUUUCUUUAUCACCAAGGUAUGAUACUUUUCAUAUUUAUCCAACGGCUCGUCAAUGACAAUACCUUUGUAAAAAGUACUUAUUUUCAAUAGUAUAUUGUGGAAAUGUCUGGUCGGUAAUACAACUAUUUCUUAUAGUGUAAAAAUGAUACACUAAGCGUUCACAUUUUGAUGAGUAAAUUAAGGAUUUCAAGAUGAAGUACAUAAUUAGAUUAAUGCUAAGAAACUGAAGUUUGAUCGAUUGAAAACGAAAAUAAUAAUAAAGGUAAUUAAGAAAAUGAACAAUAUAUGCAGAAGCGGCUCCUUAUUAGGACUUCUAGAUUUUCUCUUGGGCUUUCCUUAUUAUUGUUAAAAAAUGACACGAAGAACUUUGAGUUUAAAAAUCUGGCCCUGAUGCCUGGUAGCCCUCCAACAUAUGAAGCACCAGAUGUUUUGAUGAGAAUAUGACAAGACCAUUUAUCAAAUUUCUUGUGGAUAUAAAUACGUACACAUGGACGAGACCAACCUCCUCAAAUGAGAAUCAGAGUGAUUACAAGACCUUGCAAUGAGACAAUGAUACACCUUCAAAUGUCAAAAUACAAUAGAAAUUCACGACAUAUAUAUAAUAAAAGACCUCUCAUUGAGUCAUAUAUAUUGAGAAUAAAAAUGUUAUAAUACAUACACAAAGCUUAGCUAGAAUAAAAUGUCUUUGAACUUGCGAUGAUCAAAUAAAGAAAACAGACAGGUUGUAACUCACACUAUCACAAGAAGAUCACGAAGAUGGAAAUAGGAACCCGACAGAAUGGAAAUUUUGAAUAGAGGAAAAAAGAAAAACGACCUUAUUCACAUAAGAAGAGUGACUCAAAUCUUCUUCAGUAUCCAGACAUUCUGCAAUCAUAGAGUAGAGAAAUUUUAACAGGAACAGCAGAGAAAAUAUUAUGAAUAUGCUAUAGACCAAUAUACUUGUUCAUAGCUAACGUUUGAUGGUUUAAAGAUUUGUUCUAGGAAUAAUGGGCUGAUUACUUUUUUUUUAUUUUAAUUUUUUUUUAAUCCAAUGAAUGAUAUUCAGCUGUUAAUUAUGUGUUCAUAGGGAAGAACAUUUUCUAAGUACUUUCCUUGCCUUCUAACUUUCCGAAAAGCAAACCCAAUGAACAAACAGAGCACAAACUAAAAUAAAAGAACAGCAAUGAUGACAAUAAAUAAUUGGCAAAGAAAAAAGGAAAAAGUAUGCACGUUUUCAAGGAAUUAUAAAAUAUGAAGGCUUUUAAUGAAAUUUUAUCAUAAAAAGUAUGCAAGGAAUUAUAAAAAUUUAGAAUUUUUGGAAUUUUUAAUGCACCAAAGUUCAUUUUUAGCUUUUAAGGUUUUUAUGUGUGAGCCUCUCAGCAUGUUCCCCAACCUCCUCACGUGAAAAUAUUUCUAUGCACGGUUACAAGCUUUUCCAGAUUGUGAGUAUUCCGAAGCAAUCCAACUUGAAAAACAGCUGGUUCGUAGAAAAUGACAGUUUACGAAGCUGGCCCUGCUGCCAUACAUAUGAUGAUGAAGACCAUUUUGCUUUAUGUCAAUUCCUCCAAGUUGAAAUCUUUCUCGGUCUGGGACACUUCCAACACAUAAUGUACUACUAGGCCAGAUGAUUUUAAAAAAUGUCAAGGUCCUUUAUCAAAUUUCAUUUGCAUUCAAGACCAAUCCCCUUUGAUGAAAAUCAAUAAUUAAAGGCUUUCCAAUGAGAAAUUAUUACGUCUUCAAAUCUCAAAAAACGCCAGAAUAUUAAUUCGCUACAUAUAAUCAAGAUAUCUCAUUGAGACGCAUUAAUAAAAAAUGUCAAAAUGCAUAGAAAGAGCAGACACACGGAUGAUGAAUUUACUCAUCUUUAUUAGUAUUUGAACUUGAGAGACAGAAUGAAGUACAUGUCAAGAAUAUCAUAAAGAUGGAAACCGGAAGUCCUCCGCACAUAAACUUUGAAGAAACUGGAAAACGACUUUAUUCCAGAUAAUGCACACCAGAGUGACCAAAAUUCUCUUCAGUAACUAUAGAGAAAAUAUUAUUUUGCAUGCAUUUCACGUAACUGGAUCAAACUACUCUCCUGUUGGUUUAUCAGACCACAUUUUUAUGGUGCAAUAUAAACCAUCUUUUCAAAACGCUUUUACCAUGUGAGAAAUAUACGCAUUAAAUUUCAUAAACUAAAAACUCCAAUUGUCAAAAAAAAAAAAAAGGGUGAGAAACUCAGUAGAAUUUACAACUUCUCAGACUCACGAAAAGGUGAGAAACAAAUGAUUUUUAUAUAGUUGUUCAUAGCUAACUUUUGAUGGUUUAAUGAUCUGUAGAUUUUGUUUUAUGCUAUUCAAGGAAUGAUAUCCAAUUGUUCCUAAGAGUUCAUAGGCAGGGGCAUAUAUGCAUGAUUUGAUAUAAUUCUUGCAAUUUCUAAGUACUUGCUCUUUCCAUCCCUUCUAAGUUUUGAAAGAAAGGUCGAAAUAAACAGAGAAACAGGACAAACAGAAGAAGACUGAAUUAACAGAUCAACAAAGAUGGCAACUAACAAAUGGAAAGUUCUCUUGUAAUCAAACUAUAGCAAACAGAUGACACCAUUACAAUAUAUCUUAAUGAGUAGAUUGAUUCUAAACAUAUAUGUUAGGAUACAUUUGGUUGUUUAAUAGUUUGAAAUAAGGAGGAUGGGAUGGUUUCCACAUAAAAGUGCUGUCCCUUUCAAUGACAUUUUCAAAGAAUUAUAAAAUUCAAAAUAAAAAAAAAAUUAGCAAAUUAUAAAGCCACACCGUCAAAAAAAUAAAUAAAUAGAUAAGUUAAGACCUUUAAUGAUAUAAAAAUAAAUAAAUAGAGAAGUCACUAGGACCUUUAAUGAUAUAAAAUAAGCAUAUAAAUCUCAGAACAAAACAUUAAAAUUCAUUCUAAAAAUAAACUAGUGGUGUAUUCCAAACAAUUUAGAUGAAGCGAUAAAACAAGCCAAGAGAUCGAAUAAAAUGAAAUGAAAUUGAAUUAACUGGGACUUUGUUUUCCAAAUUCACAACUCGCUUGUAAUUAAAGUAAAAUGCCAAUGCCAUUAGGACAUAUACAUCAUUGAAUAAGAUGAGGACCCCUCCAACAGCUGAAAGUAAAAUUUUCAUUCAUUAGUUUCAAUUAAAAGUAAAGCACACAGAGAUUUGCAGGGAAGCAAGAGAUUUAAUAAAUUUAACAGCAGCAAUUUAAUUUGACAGGACUUCCAUACAGUAAUGAAGUUAAAAACUAAUGAUUAACGAAUUUAGUUUGGUCCCAAAGCUGUUGAUCAUCUCUCUCUCCAUAGUAGAAGUUUACUCUCAGAGGCGCGUUUAAUUCUCCUUUAGUGAAAAUCUUCAUCUUGGGACAACCAAUUAUAGAUAAAUCUUCCAAAGAUGGGAAUUUGAAGGUGUAAUUGGCAGAGCAUACAAAAUCUUCAAUUUGGCGAAAACAACUCUUCUUUUAAAUUUGCUGCUCCAUCUUCGUCAUUUAUCACCACCUCUCUCAUUUCUCUGCAUCCACAUACCACCAUUGAUAAUAGUCGCUCUAGACUUUUUGCUGUGGAGGAGGUUGCUAAGCUCAUCAAAUUCCUUGCAACGAAGAACUAGAAGUUCUUUUAGGUUCCCAAAAGAUACCGAUGAUGAUGGCCAUAGAUAUAACAGAUUUUGACAAUAAUGUACAUUUAGAAUUUCAAGGCAUUGAACAAAGGAGUCCAAUUUGGAGUCUUGUUUCCACAAUUGCUUCAGAUGAUUAAAUUUGUGCAGAUCUAAAUGUUUUAUCAUUGUAAACUUCCUCACAUGUUUCUUCAAGUAUCCUCCAUUCGAAAAUACAUCUUCGCAUGAACAACGACGCCGUAUGAGAGUUUCCAGAUUAUGAAAUCUCUCAAGUAAAUCAAGUGGAAAACAAGUUGAGUCAUCAUCCACUGUUUGUAGUAGUUUAAGACUCCCAAAAAGGUGUUGUGGGAAAUCGCUCUGCAAAGUCAUCCUCGAGUCUUUUCCACUUAAUGCCCGUUCCUCCUAAGUUGGGUAAGCUCUGAUCAUCAUCAAUCACGUAAUAACUUAUUAAGUCAAUUCAUAUUCUCUCAAAUGACUUUUAAUAAUCCAAUCAUACACAGUGACUUUAAUAUAAAUGCAUAAUAUUUUACAAAAAAGAAGAAAAAAUCGAAUUAGAGGUAAAAGUUAUUCUACGAUUUUAUUUUUUAUAUAUAUCUUGCAUGCUAUUCCCAAAAGCAAUCCCAAACGGCCCUUAAAGCAAUUUUACAAAAGUGGCCGGUACAUAUAUUGCCAACUUUGUUAGGAAUGGCAAUGGGAAGGGGAGGGGAAGAGACCGACCUCCCCGUACCCAUUCCCGAUAUUCUGCAUAUAUCCCCAUCCUCUCCCCAUUCCAGACAAAAUUGCUUUAGGGAAUCCCUCUCCCCUCCCCAAAUAAUAAUAGGGGAUCCCUGAAGGUCCUCGAUCCUCGAAUAACUAAUACGUUUUUAGUUUUAAAUUUUAAUUUAAUCAUAUUAAAAUAAAAAAUUUAAAUAAAAAUAAAGUUUGACGAUAUAUCUUACAUUAACAUUAAUCUAUUAAAAAAGUCACAUUACAAAGUAUAAAUCACCAUAAUAAUUAUCUUCGGCAAUCUUCAAAAUCAUAUAAUAAAAAAAAAGAAAUUACUUUUAUAUCAACAAUAAGAUAAAUGAAAUGAAUAUAGAUACUUAAUCAAUAUUUCUAAUAAAAGUAUUCACCUCAUGCGUCUCCUACUCUUCUUGUUCUUCCUCGAGGAAUGUGACAAAUUGAGAGAUAGCCUUAGAUUUCAAGUUUAAAACAAUAAAAAUAAUAUAAGUAAUGUAAAUUCUAAGUGAAAAUAUUAAUAAUUAUAUAAUAUAAUUACAAUGUAAAAUAAACUCAUACUACCAUUGUAAGCUUGUAGUCAACUUUGACAACUUAUUAAAGCCUCCAAUGUGCUUGAAUAAAGCGUGUUACGAUACUCUACCACAGGUGCUAAAAGCUAAUUCAGAAGCAACAUUUGUAAUUAGAAUUGCCAAAAUAUCUCUAGCAAUUCGUGCCAAUAUAGGAUAUCUAUAGACAUUUGUUUUACACCAACUCAAAAUAUUAAAAUCUUUCAUCCGUGGCAUAACUUUUUCAUCCAAAUAUUAAUGUAGUCAAUUAGGCCUAAAGUUUAAUAAUAUAAUUAUUUUAAUUUUUUUAUUUAUACUAAUAUUUAAUAUUUUAUUAUUUAUAUUUUAUUAUUUAUUUACAAAUAAUUUUAAAAAAAUUAAAAUUAAAAUUAAAAAAUUGGAAGGGGAUAGGGAUUCCGCUGCAUCCCCGUCCUUUUUUUGAAUAAGAAAUUGGGUAAAAAAACUAUUUCCGUCGCUUUUCUAAAUAAAAAAUUAAGUAAAAAAUUAUGUACCCUCCUGAAUUGGGAAAAUCUCGAGGGUCAUGUCCCCGCGGGAAUAUCUGCCAUUCCAAAACUUUGUAACAGCCACUUGCUUUUGUGACCGUUUAUGUGACGGCUAGACUGCUCUCACUUAUGUUACUAACCACGUGACGGUAGAGAGCCAAUUGGCAUACUAUUAUUUUGACGGUAGAGUUAUAAAUUUGUUUCUAAAUAGAAAACUAUUUGCUGGAGUCAAUAUUUUGAAGACCAAAGUCCCAAAUUCUCUCUCGUGCCUGGCCAGCAUCCUAAACCUUACUGGUAGCCGGAGAAUGGCGUAAAACGGCGGCGAUCUUCUUCUUCAUCUUAUUCUCUCUCUCAUCGUUUCAGGUAAGCUUGUGAUUAUGAGUUUCUUCGCUUUCUUAGCUUGUAAUUAUAGGUUUUGAUUUCUUUAAUUCGUUUUGUAGCCAUUAAUGUCAAUUUUUGUCCCACCGGCAAUGUUUUUUGUUCCUAGAAGUUGAAGCCCUUCUGUUCUUGUGCCAUUGGUGAGUUUGCUCACUCA